Molecule: long non-coding RNA, 83886 nt
Filed under: Citrus maxima (pomelo)
Lineage: Eukaryota; Viridiplantae; Streptophyta; Magnoliopsida; Sapindales; Rutaceae
Description: long non-coding RNA (CMAX_LNC001066)
Rfam family: tRNA (bases 9763-9834)
Source: RNAcentral
GCUGUAGUGGUAGCACGGCCUGCAAAUGUGAGAUUUGCUCCACCACCUGCAGAGGAAGUUCACCAAGACUAAUGAGAACCUUUGAGGGAUGGGACUCUCUUGAGGGCUCACUUUUGGUUUGUAUUGAUCUGUAUGGGAAAUCUGCGACCUGCAGAAAGUGUUGUUGACCCAUGUCUUGCAACCUGCAGAAAGUGUUGUUGACCCAUGUCUUGAAAGUAUUUAUGUGAACUAGCUAAUUAUGGUGUUUAUGUCAUAAGUACAUUACAGCUUAACUUUGUAUAUGCUAUAUCCUGUUGCUGCUAGAUCUGUCUGGAUUUGAAGAUGAGUUUUGUAAUCUAUACAUAGAGGAAUGAAGGAUUGUAGUUAGUACGGGGUGCUUCUUGUGCAUUUGUUGACUAUUUUAAUUAUUAUAUUCCUUAACUUGUUGUAAGGACAACUCAUCGUAAGAAUAAUGUAUGAUCAUUAAAUAUGAGAAUUUAGGAUUAUAUUAUUAUCCAGUUACAAUUUUUUUUUUAUUACAAAUCAACACAAUUUUUAUUCUCCAUUUGAAAUAUGAAUAUGAAUAUUGCCAUUUUUUUUUUUUAUGAAAAAGGCCAAAAAGCCUCUUCUCAGAAUCUUUUCCCUGAAAUUUUGUUAAAUUACCUUUCUCUAAUAUUUAUCUUUCUGCCGGAUUCUGAUUUUAGUUUUUGGCACUUGGGGUUGUCUUCUUGUUCUGGCUCUGGAAAGAUUAGAAAGAAAAAUUGCGCACUAUUUCGUAAUUUCUCUUUAACGUCGAAUGCGUUUGCUGCUGAAAUAGUGGAAACUGAGAAUUGAGAAACCCACAUGACCAGCUCUUAACUUGUUUCAAAAGUUUUACCAUGUCAAGUUGUGAAUAUUAUUUCACAGCAAAGGUUUAUGCCAGCCGGGUUGUAAAAUUAAAAUUGUUUACAAGCAAAAUAAAAAAGGAUUUGUAUCGUUUGAAGCUGACGAUGCGAGAAGCAUUGGGCCCGAGAAAUAAAAAAGUAGAAGAAGAUGACGUCCGUCUCCUUUGUAAUUUUGCCAGUUGUUCAAAGAGACCAAACCCGAUACAACAGUAAUCCGACUUCAGUAAGAGUAAAAUCGGAAGAUGACGUGUAUCACCAAAGGCCAAAAAGGAAAGGGCAUGUAUAUCAUUUCAAAUUUCAUCGACCUUUCAGUUUCCCCACACAUCAUAAUAUCUAAACUUCUUUAAACAUGACAAAGUGAUAACUUCCACAUUGAGACAGACAUUAAAAAUCCCCCCAAUUUCACACUUUUGAACAAACAUAUUACAUGAAAUAACCAAUUCUUCACAUAAGCCAUGAAGAUAUCAAUUUUGAAAAAAAAAAAAAAAAAAAAAAAAACCCCUACCGCUAGCUGCAAACAUCUUCGUUAAUCCAUGCAAAAAAUAUAGCCGACACCAGGAGCUUCACCAGGAUAAUACAUCGGGAUUGUCUUUCUGGCUUUUGUGCUCAAGCCUGAAUCUCAACUCCAACUGCCCUCUUAACUCUCAAACUACUACAAACCUCUAGAAGUGGCAUGUUUGGCGAGGUCAGGGAGCAGAUGACACUUCAGACAAGGAGGAGCACGGCUACCGGAUGGGAUGAUAUUGGGCAGAAAUUCUCUUGGGAGGCAACUUGCGCAGGAUGUACAGGACUAGAGCAGAGGGUAGGAUCUCCACCAGCUGUUUGCACACAAUCCCACUUUUAGAUAAAUAAAUAAAUAAUAAGCAAAAAUAAAAUAAAUACAAGAAGUAGCAUAAUACCAUGUAGUAGAUCAAAUUCAAAACUGGAUGAUCCAUCACAUCCAGGGAAGCAUCUUUAUCAAAAGCAGAUAAAACCACCUGCAUUUUGGGAAUUUAGUUAACAGUGCAUGUGCAUCUGAGAGAUCCAAUUUAUGUGCAGCAAAUCCAAAAUAUAUUAAAGCAAACAUAGAACCCCAAUCUACAUUCAUUUUGGUCCUUGUCGAGCACUCAAUGAUCAUUAACCUUUCAGGCUUCUUUGUACUUGAAUCACAUGGUGACUCAACAAAAAUCACGAUGUCCUACAUAAAUAUCCAUCAUGAUGUUGAAGUAACUGGACUAUCUUUUUCCCCUUUAUGAAACUUCAACACCACUAAGGCACUAACUGAAAGCCAAGAUUGAAUCUUAUACUGCUCUGGAAACUUAGAAACAUUUGAAUAUCCAUCAUCACGUUGAAGUAACUGGACUAUUUUUUUUCCCCUUCACCCCCACCCCGCUCCCCCAAUUAAACUGCAAAAUAACUAAAGAGAUUCCUUUUGCUUUUCUCAAGUAAAUUUUAAAGAUAAAGAAAGAAAUUAUGAAAUCCUCUACCAUGAACUACAAAAACAAAGUAUCAAAUUAUCACCAUCUACCUUCUAUUCCAUUUUCUACUUCUACAAUAAGCAAGACGACCACAAUGGGGCACACACUUUUAUGCAGAUAUUUUGUUUUGUCAAAGUGGUCAAAUUGACAAACAUAUACAGAAAGUUCAAAUUAUUACAUUAUAUGGCAUGUAUGGGAUGUGCAGGAUGUGGAUUAGCUUCAUAAGCACUAAAAGUCUGAAACCUCUUGUAAACCUAAUUAGGAGGAGACAAUAUAGUUUGGAACAUACCACAAAGCAUCGUAUAAGGAAGCAAGUGAAGCAAAUGGCUGUCACAGAUCCAACCUGCAAAAAUAUUGCAUAUUGCAUCAAUCACACUACUUUAGAGCCAUCAAUAUCCCAGCAUGUUUUCUCCCAGAAACAGCAAAAAUGUUGCUUGACGCAAGGCAGGGUACCCAAAUUUGUACAGUGCAAAAAGAUCAUUUUAGAUCAGAGACUCCAGAGUUGUAUCUUCAAGAUGCAAUAGGCAUGUAAAAAUAUCCAUUCCAUAUAUCUCAUUCACCUCCACUACCAUGUUUAUGGUAACACAAAAGCUAUACACACAAGCAUGUGCAGGAACAGACACAACUACCUUCAUAGUAUUGGAAAGACUGUGAUUAAAUAAACCACAGUGCACUUUCCACAGAAUAGAGACACCAAAGUCACCAAACGGUAACAUGAUUAACUUCUAGAAGGAUUUGGCAGAUUCCAGACCAAACCAAACUUAAAAUGUCUUUACCAAAUCAUAAUCCAUGAAAGAAAUUAAUUAUAAGCAGAUCUAUUGCCAAAUUUGUUUUCCCCGGAAAAAUGCCAAAUUGAAAACCCAACAAAUACAUGCAUACACAUAUACAAGCUUCAUUCAAAGACACAAAAGCAGCCAAGGAUAUUGAGUCACAAAUGUGAUCCCAUAGAUUUACAAUGAAGGGAAGAACCAACCUCGUGAAGCUUCUUUCUUCUCCCUUUUGAUUCAAUCGGGAAGCGUCUCAGCAUGAAAAAUAAUCUACCAGCAUCAUAAAUGAUAAUGCAAAAGAUGGAGAUGUACAAACAAAAAGAAAGAAGCAAAUACAAGUGAGGAAAAGGAAUCGAAACCACUCUAAUGCUCUAACCACUACAUAUAAUUUGACAUGAAACCUCACCUUCCUCCAUAGAGCAAGAAGCCUAAUGCUGCAAUAAAUGACACCACUGAAAAACAAGUACCAUAAGUAUGUGCAUUUAUAUGAGAGCAGCAACAGUUAUAAUGCAUAGAUAAUCUAGAAAAAUGAAUGACAACUUGAAGUGCUAACCUCCAAUAUUACUGUAUGAAAAACCUAGUUAGAUUAGGAAACAAGAACUUACCGGCAAUAAAUAUCUUUCCGAUGAAUUCCGCUGCACUGCUGUCAUCUAUCCAGAGGUAAACCCAGAUGCAGACCUGUACAAACACUUCAUUUUGUAAAAUUUUGCUCAAGCUUGCUAGUAAGCAACAUCAUGAAUGUGGAUUGUAAGGGGCUGCUCAGCACAUGCUAGGAGUCUGGAGUACAAACUGUACUCCUAAAUUAACUCUCUAUCUGCAUCAUACUGUGCACUUUGAAUGCUUUUAGCACGACUUCUAAGGAAAACCAUUAAACAUUAAUCUCUUGGACAGCGAAAAACAAUCAUGUUUGUAAUAAAGGUUCUGAGGGGAUAAAUAUGUAUUUAUAUAUAAAUUUUUUAAUACUAACUCCAAAAGACUAUUGCCGAAACUGUCAACCUUUAUAGAAAACUAAGAAACUCAUUGGACAUUCUACCCAGAUAGGUAACUCCUAGGGAAUUUGAACCUUAGAUAUCUUGAUUGGAAAUAUAAAUACUAUCACUUUAAGUUUGAUUAUGGGCUUGCAGUUGACUAUGCUGCAUGCAGAAGUGGUUACAAGAAUGUUCAACCUCAUAUUGCGUGCAAGGACUACAAAGGGAAUUUAGAAAUUUCAAAGUAAUGCUAGCAAAUGUGCUCCUAUGCUACUUCCUCAUAGAAGUUAGUGAGAAAUUCUGUACGUAUGGAUUUGAAUGUUCAGAUAUCAUUUUUCUUCCAAAAUUUCAACCAUUUUCAAGAUGAUAUAACCAAUAGGCAUGCCUGCCUUGUGAAGUUGUACUUCUAAGUUAUAACUAUGUGCAAUAAACCCUACAGUGAAUAAAUAAACAGAAAUUACAGUAACUGCUCUAGAAUCCAAAGAAUAAACCAGCUAUAAGAUUUACAUAAAUGUCAAAACCACAGCAGUAUAAGACAACUGGUGAAAGUGAGAUGGACCAUACCUGUAUGAAGUAUAUUAUUCCAUUGACUGAGAUAUAAAAAAUCCUGAGUUUAUCAGUUGGUAAGCUUCUUGCCUGUCAAUCCGUUAAUAUGUUAAUAUUUCCUUGAAUAGUAUUAAAAAAAAAAAAGGAAUCAUACAAGCUUGCAAAUAAUCUAAUGGCAUCAUAAAAAAAUUAGUUACUUGCCUGGUGAUAUAUCUCUGCCCAAAAGAGGACAAGUAGUGUGUAUGUAGAGAAAAACAACAGUCCCGGAAGAUCCAAUACUACAAGCGUAAGCACCUGGUUCAAUAUACAGCAGCACUAUGUCGUAAGAAGGCCUUGGACAUUCUAGAUGCCAUAUUAUGGCAGGCAAAAGUAAAGUGUCAUCUAAUUCAAAUCAACGAAGAACUAUGACCCCAGAAACUUUAUUUACCAGUAGUUUAGAAUGUUAGCACAAGUACAGAAAGCUCAGAAAAAUGCACAAUGUUUCAUAAUUAAAGUAUAUCAUACAGACAAUGCUAUGGACUGAAUAAACAGUAAGGAAUAUAUCAAGAAAAUUUUUACUAUUUGUUCAUACACUGAAAAAAGAAAUUUUUUUUUAAGGAUUUGAAAGCCAAAGCAUAUAUGGUUGAUCAAGAAUAGAAUUGCAAUUUAUCAGAACUACAGCAAACUGACCUUGGGAUGCAAAAGAAACACUUGCAUGUGAAACCCAAAAACAACUGCACGUACUGUUACAGUAAAAAAGAAGACAAAAUUCAAAGUCAAAUUAGUUCCCAAUAAAAUAAAAUGAGUGACGACAAUCACAAUGUCACAAAGACUCUAGUUAUCACCUCCAUUUACAAUGAAGUUCAUAAGAUGAAAGACCUUCUGUGUUGUCCAACCAUAUUCAGGCACUCUCAACUCAAUCCUUAUUAAUUGUAUCUGCUCAUCAUAAACAUCAAUCAGAAAACCUCGUCAUUCACGUCAACUAAUCUAACCACAAAAUCACAGCACGCAGAAGCAAACAUGUCUUACAAACUGUAAUUAGACUUGAAUUAGAACAACAGUAGCAUUUCCUAAUUUUCAAGAUGCUCGUGAAGAACACACACAAAUAAUAAUAAUAAUAAUAAUAAAAGAAAAAAUUGCCAUGCAUCAUCCGAAAUUUAAGAUGAAUUCAAUAAUUAUGUACAGUAAAUACACAAAGAUGUUAUUAAAUGAUUCGAUUUACAUAAAAUCAAAUCUCAAAACAACAAAACAUGAUCAUACAAGAAGAGAGAAAGAGAGAGAAUAACCAGAGCAACAGAGGAUACAAGCGCGUAAGCGGCACAGAGAGAGUAGAAGAUCCCGUCCUGCCACUGAGACGACUCGUUGAUCUCGGCCCACCAGCUCGUGAGCACAGUUCCGAACUCGGAAGAGGAUGAGUUCAGUGGCAUUCCCGUAAUUCUCCUCAUUAUCUACAAACUUUUCGCGAGCUCUCCCGAGGAAGUCAAAACUCCUUUCUCUUCGCCAACAAGUACAAACUCCAGCCUUUGAGAAGCCAAGAAACGUGGACACCAGCCCAAACACGAAACUACGAAUUACCAAUCGCGGAGGAAAUUUUUGAAAGAAGUAAAAAUAAUUGUGUGACUUGGUAUAACUCUACCAGAUGGACACGGCGCGUCCCUCACCUAAGUUUCUACGAGAUCAACGAAUGAGAUUAGUUGUUAUUUGUUCUUAUUUUGGUAAGAUUUUUACACCUGUCACGUUUUGAUUUGUUAUUGAUUUCUCUGCGUUCGACACGUGGUAAAAACUGUGCUACAAGUGUUAGUUUAUUAAUUUUUUUUUCCUUUCAAUUGGUUUAUUGCUAAUUUACUACAGUGAGGUGAACAUAGUAGAAAGUGUCUACUAUUUUCUUUUGUGUCUUUUUUCAUUUUAACUAAUUGCAGAAAAAUGGCGUGUAAUUGGUACCGGUGUAAUUACUAAUUAGGCGGCAAACAAAUUUAACGAUAUUAUGUUAAGAAGUAAUUUUUUUAUAUUAUAUUAAAUAAUACAAAUAUUAAGGAAUUGAUGGUAUGUUAAAAAAUGAAUUUAAAAAUUUACAAUAAAUUUAUUUUUAUUUAAUUGUUUAUAAAAUUAAUUUUAUAUGAAUCAGAAAAUAAAUUAAAUUAAAAAGAAGAAUUAUAAAAUUUUCAUGAAUAGAAAAAUUAAGUUAUAAAACGAUAUUUAAAAUAGUUCCAAGCAUUUUCAAAUACUUUAUAAGAUUAUAUAUUACUUCAUACUUUUCAUCUGACGAAAAUAAUUUUAUAUCACUUAAAAAACUACAUUAUUGAAACAUAUAUAUUAAAAAAAAAAAGUCAAAGGUGACCAAUUUUGUGGCACAAGAAUAUGAUGAUCGCAGGGGAAGAAAAAUUAAAUUUGAGUAGGAGAGAAUCACGUGUUGAAGGUGAGAGUGAGGAGAUGCUCCUAGAGAUUUUCCCUUGGGCAAUCAGUGAGGGGCCCACCGGUCAAAGAGUCUAGGGAAGGAGGGUUGUUUUAACAGCUUGCGAUGUGAAGUUUCCUCACCGUCCAGCCAUCACCUCACCCAACGGCAAUCCGGCGAGGACGGUUAGUCGGUACUCGGUUAGUCGGCGCGUUUGGACUUUGGUUUUAUGGUGACGUAUUCAUCAUACACUGAUUACAUAUUUAUUAUAUCCAUCUACUAUCUAAUUGAAUAUUUUAAUUAAAAUUUAUAUCUAAUUCAAAAUAUUUUUAAUGAAUAUUAUUCAAUUCAAUUUAUAUGAAUAUCCAAUUUCAUGGAUCAAUUUCCCAAUCUCUAUAUUAUGUACAUAUCUCUAUCUAUGCGUCAAAAAUAAUUUAAAAUUAUACUACUUAUGAUAACAAAACCUAUGGUUCGUGAAUGACACUUUUAUUUUGAAAGCACAGCUUCUCACAACAAUGUCCAUUGAAGCUUAUGCUUACAAUGGAAACACAAAAAUAAUGAGAUUUACAUAAUUUUUAUCAAAGAUUAAAUCGAUAUGUUUUUCAAAUUUAUAAAUAAACCUUAUUCUUGAGUGAAUGAUAUUCUCAUUGUUUGUGCUCGAUAAUUGACCACAUGACAUAUAAAUUACAAUCGACAUGAGUGGCAGUACUAAGAAUUCAAUCUAACAGGGCUAAGUUCAAACAAGAAAAAAUUAAUGAAUACAAUUUAUCUAUUUUAGUAUCAAUUAUUUUUCUUAUUAGCUUACCAACCCCUUUUAAUUUUGAAAAUUUGUUAUCAUAAUUCACAUUCAUAAUGUAAACAUCAAGUUGAAUUUUAAGUGCUAUAAAAUUGAUUGAAGAAAAACAUUUGGAUAAAUUUAGUAACAUGAAAUAGUUUUUGUUUUUUUGUACGAGAAGAGGUAGGACCCAAGGGAAUUCAAAAUAACAAUAUUUCUUUGUAGGUUGCAAGCGUAAAAACAAAUACUUUGAUAUUUUAAUUAUUUUUAAAAUUUAACAGAAAUUUUUAUGAUAAAUCAAAUAAAAAAUUAUACAAAUAUUAAAUUAAAUUUAUUAAUUUUAAAAAGUCAAGGACUUUAAUCUUUGCCAGCCCUAAUAUGGCACCGCAACUGAUCGACAUAUCUGUGCCAUUUUCAUUUUUUUUUUCCUUCACUUAUAUUUACUCUUGUAGUGAAGUACGAAUUCCAUCCAUUCAAGAAAAUGAUUAUGCAACCCAAGGACUUCGAAGUGUGACUAAUGAGUAUUACUUCUUUUUAAAUUUGGCUAAAAGAAGACUGGAUACUUCAAUUAAUUAAAUAAUUGGUCAUUGUCUCAAGUUUCCAACCAAUUUCACAUAAAAUAAACAAAAGUCUUUAUAUAAAAAGAAAGGAUAAUGUUCUUUAGUCAUAUCAUUAAUCUGCCGACUGUGAUAAACAUAUUUUUUUUAUUUAUUUUAAGGAGAUAAACAUCUUAAGUAGUAGUAGAUUGACAUGAUAGCACCAAAAGAUAACGAUGCAAACCAUAGUCAAAUAAAGAUAAAGUUUCGAUUUACUCGUAGAUUGCAUGUUUUUUAUCUUAAAAUUAAGAAGUAAACAGGCAAUAACCAGAAAUUUUUUUUUUUUUUGGUUCAAAGGCAAAUACUAGCAUUAUGAUGAUUAUACUCGGAAUAUUAAGAAGGGAUAUUAUCAUUUUUCCACCAAAAGUAUUCUGACACAUCAUGUCAGUACCACAGUUUGGUAAAACUAUCAAUUUACCACCAAACGUUUAAACUGUUAGCAUUUUCCCACCAUUCCGUUAAAACUCAGUUAAUAUGUAACGGAAAAUUUUUAAAAGGUCAAUUUUACCCCUGGAACAUAAAAGACCAUAUAAUUAACCUUUUAUGAAUUUUGUAAUUAAAUCAUCAUUUGUUGUUCUUCAUUCUUAAAGGACAAAAAUUACCCUUUAUAAAAUUUUUUAAAAUUGACCAUGAGGUGCUAGGUACUUCAUAAAUUGAUUUAAUUGAUUUAAUUUUUAAUUUAUUUAUUAAAUUGACGAGCUAAAGCCAAUUUAUUCUACUACUAAAAAUCAAUUUAUGAAGGGGAAAAAAAGAUUGUGCAAAAGAAGUAAUUUUAUCUUUGAUAUGAUGAUAAUAAUUUUACACAAAAAAAUUAAAUAAAUAAAUUUACCCUUUAAAAAUUAAAUAAAUUAAAUUAAUUUAUGAAGUACCGAACACCACACGGUCAAUUUUACAAAAUUUAUAAAGGGUAAUUUUUUUCCUUUAAGAAAGAAGAACCAGCAAAUGAUGAUUUAAUUACAAAAUUCAUGAAAGGUUAAUUACAUGGUUUUUUAUGCUCCAGGGGUAAAAUUGACCUUUUAGAAAUUUUAUGUUACAUAUUAACUGAGCUUUAACGGAAUGGUGGGAAAAUGCUAACAGUUUAAAUGUUUGGUGGUAAAUUGAUAGUUUUACCAAACCGUGGUACUGACAUGAUAUAUCAGAAUACUUUUUGUGGAAAAAUGAUAAUAUCCCUAUUAAGAACGCAAAACAAUCAAUGCAAACGAUCAUAUUCAAUAUUUUUAAGUACAAAAUUUAUUCUUAAUCAAUGUUGACUUUACACUAAUAAGUUACAAAGACAAAACUAUUAAAACAAAUUUAAUUAAAAUUAAAAGAAUGAAUGCAAUAAUAUGACAAUUAAGAAUUCUAUGUUUAUAGGUGAAAUGCCCCAAAAAUAUUGUUUAAAUCAAAUAUAAAAUAAUUUUAAGUGAUUAGUUUACGUGUGGAUCCGUGGCGCAAUGGUAGCGCGUCUGACUCCAGAUCAGAAGGUUGCGUGUUCGAUUCACGUCGGGUUCAAUCCCCUGAAACCAAUCAUACAUUUUUUUUUUUUUUAAAUUCGGUUCAGCCCCAAGUGUUGCAGAAAUUUAGCGGCACGAUUCUCGCGGCCGCGCCGUCAACCUCGACAAGCAAAGACGACACACGCCUCGCUAUUACUUUGUUGAAAAUUGAUUUAAAAAAAAAAAAAGUGGCUUCAAAUGUGAUGGCUAAUCCACCAAUUUUGAAUAGGAUCGUUUAAGUAGAAGCAUACAACAUAGAAUUGGGCAAUCCUUUGUUGUUUGAUAAGUACUGGGCAGUCAUCUAUAGUGAACAAAAAAUCCUUUCUUCAGAGUUGCUGGUAACAUAGUGUAAUUUGGUCGGUUGCCGGCAUCAUUAAGGACAUGAGAAAAUUUACGCUGAAGAUCUGGACUCUUUUUCGAUUUAAUUUCGCAAGGUGUUGUUGUUCAGAAGACAAUGCAAAAUAAAUAAAAUGAAGUGAAACAAGUGUGUUAAAAUAUUUUUUGGUAGAGCUUACAAGGAAAAGAUAAGUCAAUUUACUUCAACUAAUGAAAACUCAAAUUUUGAGAUUUUAGUAGUAGAGAUUGAUUUUUUUUUAAUUAAAAUGUUUAAAAUAUUUUUUAUUUAUUUGAUAGUUUUAUUUUAUUUUUAUAGUAUAAUUUUAAAAAAUUUAUCUAUUCAAAAUUUUUAUAAUUUUCAAUAAAAGUUUACGUUGACAAUUUUAAGCAAUCAAUUUUUUUUAGAUAAAAUCUCUAUUUUAAAAGUUUUAUUAACAAAAUCUUUACUUAAAUAAGUAUUAUUUAAAAAAUUAUACUGUAUAAAGUUUCACUUAAAUAAAUUUUAUUUAAAAAGAUAUACAAAGCAAAAUUUAAAAUUACAUUUUCUUAUUCACAAUUUAUUUUAUGAAUCAUGAAAUUCACCGUACUGUUAAAAAAAUAUUUUAUUUUAUAUUUUGAAAUUUACUUAAACAUUAACAAACUGCAAAUAAUUAAAUAAUUAAAUAAUUUUUUGAUAAAAAUAAAUUAUUAAUUAAUUAUAGUAAAGCGGAAUAUUGGAGUAUGGAAAAUGUUUAUUUAUUUAUUUAUUACACCUGUCACAUGCUACUCAGUAACAUGCCUCAGGCAUAGUAGUUCUCUCUAGUCAGAAGGAGAAUGCCGAAGCGGCUCUAAUCUCUCCUCUAACCAGUGCAUAUGCAUAAGAGUGCGCGAGACAGGGAUCCAGCCGUCUACAACCGUCUACACAAGGGAGGGUACUUUAAACUUGAGGGUGCUCAAGUAGCUAAUUUUAAAAUUUCACAGAAUUUUUAAUAUUAUUACAAACCUCAGCACCCACUCUGUAGUUUCUUUUCAUUGUUCUCUAUCUGAAAACCCAAAACCGUUUCUCUUUAAUUUUGAUUAAAAAAAAAAAUUUCUUUUUUUUAAAAAGAAAAAUGGCCUUACUUUAUCGCCUCCGUACAAAUUUUAACCUGAAAACUGUAAAUUACCGUAAUCUGGCCACGUCAUCACUGCUCUCGGCCGGCGACGAGGCUGCGGCGUUGACUAUCAAGGAAAAGAAACGCGCCACUAUAGCUCGUUUGAAAUCGGAGUCCAAUCCAUUUAGGAUCCUGGACAUCUGCUGCGGCGCCUCGCUCGCACCGGAGUCUCCCCUGGACCGCAUGGCCUUCUCAAUCGCCGUAUCGAAGCUAUCCCAGGCCAAUCACUUCAACGCCAUCUCUCAGUUACUCGAAGAGCUCAAGACCCGACCGGAUUUGCGACAAAACGAGCGUUUCCACGUUCACUCCAUCGUCCUGUACGGCCAAGCCAACAUGAUCGACCACGCGAUGCAGACUUUUGAGGAAAUGGAUAAGUACGGACUUCGUCAGUCCGUUGACGCCUUGAACGCGCUGCUAUUAGGUUGCAUUUUAUCAAAGAAUUACGAAGAAGUUAAACGGAUAUUUACGGAGUUUCCGAAAGUUUACGGAAUCGAGCCGAAUUCUGAGACCUACAAUAAGGUUAUUAAGUCGUUCUGUGAGUCUGGUGAUUCGAGUUCUGUGUAUUCAAUUCUGGCUGAGAUGAGAAGAAAAUCCAUUAGACCAAACGCGACGGAUUUUGGGCUUUUGCUAGCUGGGUUUUAUAAAGAGCACAAGUAUGAAGAUGUGGGUAAAGUUUUGCAAAUGAUGGAGAAAUGUGGGAUUGCAUCUGGGGUUAAUGUUUAUAAUAUAAGGAUUCAGAGUCUUUGUAAGUUAAAGAGGUCUGAAGAGGCCAAGGCAUUGCUCGAUGGGAUGUUGUCCAGAGGAAUUAAGCCCAAUUUGGACACGUAUAAGCAUUUGAUUCAUGGGUUUGGCAAGGAAGGGAAUCUCGAAGGAGCUAAGAAGUUGUUUGCGAGUAUGAUUAAUGGAGGGUGUGAACCAGAUAGUUAUUGCUUUUUUAUGUUCACUUAUUUUCUGUGCCAAGGGGGGAGUAUGAGACAGCGCUGAAGGUCUGCAGGGCCAGUAUGGCAAAGGGUUGGGUGCCGCAUUUCUCAACUAUGAAAUCAUUGGUGACUGGACUGGCCAGUAUUUCCAAGGUUGCUGAGGCGAACGAGCUUAUUGGACUAAUGAAGAAGAGGUUCCCCAAGAGUGGCGAUAUGUGGAAUGAUAUUGAAGCUGCCUUGCCUCGGCAGUGAAGACAAAUUAUGGUGUGCAAUUUACUUUGGUAAUUGUAGAUAGAUUGAAUUCAUCAUUUAAAACUUUUAAUAAAGCUCAAUUUUAGGCUAAGAAUCUAAUGGAAUAGUUCAAGAUAAUGUUAAGUCAUUGACCAUAUGACACAAGUUUAUGUGUAGCUAUUGACUUGGCCCUAUUUCAUGAUUUGUAAAAGAAUAAUUGAAAUCUGUUUUAGUAUAUACAUCAUACAUUCAUAGAGAUAGAAGUGCAAGAAAGUGAAUUCAAUUUUGUUACUUAGAAAGAAGAGUGAAUCUUUAAUUUGUCUAAACUUGGUUACAGCAUUUUUAUCAAUGGGAGCUCGUGGCUUCCACCAUUAAUUUUUACACAUUCUUUUUGGUGAUAUUGAGUUUGUGGAGGCAUUGGCUAUUUUGAAUUGUCAGAGGAAGCAGGGUUGUUGCCUCUUAUUGUUGAACCAUAAUUCUUGAAUGUUAUCGAACUAAUCUUACUAAAGAUUUCCAGCAGAUGCGUCAUUGGUUGGCUGGUCUCGGAGAUCCACGAUGUCAUGGUGGAGAGAAACCUUUUCAUGCCUCAUAACUAUUCCUAGAUCAUGACUCACGAGAUGAGGUUUAUCUCAAUCUGGCCAAAUUGGUUUUGGCAAAGGAGUCCUUAAUCUGGCUGGAGGAGUCACCUCCAUUUGUGCCUUGUAAUUCUUCUCAUCUUCUAAAAACUUGGUAAAGCAUGCACUGGUGUAAAGAAAAGACUGAAUGAUAGCCUACAGAGCUGGUUCUGUUAUGAAUUCUUUGAGCAAUACUCAGUUCAUCACCAAAGCUAACAACUUGCUGAUCUGUUUCUUCUAUACUAAAGUUGGUUCCGGCAAAAAGAAAGCUGGUUCAAGCUCAAUGCUUGUGGUUGUGUCAGGCAGCUUUCAAGAUCCUGCAAUGCUGUUGGCACAUACACGGGGCGAAUUUGACUUUUACGAAUGAGGAGCAUUUUGUUUUGUCUAUCCAUUUGCUGUAACCUUUUCUAUGUGUUUUAACGAGGCUGCAUAAAGCAUUUUGAUUUAGAAAGAUUAAUGAUUGCAAAAGUUGGUCGUUGUCUCAAAUUUACGUGAAUGUGAUUUUGAGAGCGGAGUUCUAUGGAUAGGUGGCGGUAUAAGGCAGGGUUUUAAAUAUUACUAAUUUAAGUAAUUAAUGUGGACAAGAACAAACAACAGGAUCCGUGGCGCAAUGGUAGCGCGUCUGACUCCAGAUCAGAAGGUUGCGUGUUCGAUUCACGUCGGGUUCAAUCCCCUUAGUGGAUCAUUUUUUUUCGUCUGCUUCAAUCAGUUUGCUCGCUAUGUUUACAUCUGCCGCUUUCUUAUAUCACCACCGUCCAUCACACGGAUCCUCUGCUUCACUCUGUAGUGCUCUUCUCUAAAAGACUAAAACCCAGAACCCUAGCUCUCUCUCUUUCGUUUCCAAUCAUCAAUAUUAAAACGAAUAGAAUGGCUUUAUUUUCCCGACUUCGAACGAACCUAAACCUGUUCUCACAAAAACAUCACCGCUACUUGGCCACGUCAUCUAUCCUCUCCUCCGGCGACAAAACGCCCUUGACCAGCAAGGACAAGACACGCGCCGCUCUUACUCUGCUAAAAUCGGAAUCCAAUCCAGAAAAGAUCCUCGAAAUCUGCCGCGCCGCCGCCCUCACGCCGGAGUCCCACCUCGACCGCCUCGCCUUUUCAAUCGCCAUCAACAAGCUAUCAGAAGCCAAUUACUUCAAUGGCAUCUCGCAGUACCUCGAAGAGCUCAAGACCCGACCCGAUUUGCAAAACGAGCGCUUUCACGCUCACUCGAUCAUCCUGUACGGCCAAGCCAACAUGACCGAGCACGCCGUCCGGACAUUUAAGGAAAUGGACGAGCAUAAACUCCGUCAUUCGGUUGGGGCUUUCAACGCUUUGUUGUUGGCUCUCACGAUAGCCAAAGACUACAAAGAAGUUAAACGGGUAUUUAUCGAAUUUCCCAAGACUUACGGAAUCAAGCCGGAUUUGGAUACCUACAACAGGGUAAUUAAGGCGUUUUGUGAGUCCAGUGAUUCAAGUUCUGCGUACUCGAUUUUGGCUGAAAUGGAUAGGAAGUCGAUUAAACCAAACGCCUCGAGUUUUGGAGCUUUGGUGGCUGGGUUUUAUAAGGAGGAGAAGUAUGAAGAUGUGAAUAAAGUCUUGCAAAUGAUGGAAAGAUAUGGGAUGAAGUCUGGGGUUAGUAUGUAUAAUGUGAGGAUUCAUAGCCUUUGUAAGUUAAGAAAGUGUGCAGAAGCCAAGGCAUUGCUUGAUGAGAUGUUGUCUAAAGGAAUGAAGCCGAAUUCAGUCACUUAUAGCCAUUUCAUUUAUGGGUUCUGCAAAGAUGGGAAUUUUGAAGAAGCUAAGAAGUUUUAUAGGAUUAUGAGUAACAGUGGGUUGUCGCCAAAUAGCUCUGUAUAUUUUACUAUGGUGUAUUUCAUGUGUAAAGGUGGGGAUUAUGAGACAGCACUGGGCUUCUGCAAGGAGAGUAUAGCGAAGGGUUGGGUGCCUAAUUUCACGACUAUGAAAUCAUUGGUGACUGGGCUGGCUGGUGCUUCCAAAGUCAGUGAAGCAAAGGAGCUUAUUGGCCUAGUGAAGGAGAAGUUCACCAAGAAUGUGGAUACCUGGAAGGAGAUUGAAGCAGGCUUGCCUCAAUAGUGAGUAUGCAUCGUUUUAUUGUUUUCCAUUUCAUGAACAAUGAUUAAGAUUAGGAUCUGGGAAUAUUUUAUAGGAUCUUCCAGUCUAGAGAUUUUGUUUAAUUUGUUGAAUCAUUGAGAUAGGUAAAAGUAGUUCUUGAAGCUAUCUACAGACGGGUCGGAGGAUAUGCUUCCCAAGCUAUGAAACUUGCACCAUGACUUAUUUUUAUGCUUGUAGACCUGAUUUAUUGUCUGGCAUCAUGGUUAUGAUGAUUUUGGCAAUUUUAGCAUAUGAUAUGGAGUACAAAUUUUGGUUAAAAUGUCAAUUUGAUUUUAAAGGUUCGCUUUCAUGUGAGAGUCUUGCUUUCCAAGAUUGUUGUAUGUAAUUUCUAUGCUUCGGCAUAGUUUGAAUGCACCACAGCUAAUGUGAUUGGCAAUCACUCUUCUCCCACCCUCUUAACUUGACUGCUUGCAAUUUGAUUUCCUUGCUACCAUGGCUGCAUCUCAAUCCCAAACAUACAAUGAUUUGACUAGAACUUCUUUCUUUAUUGUGUGUUUUAGGACCUAAUAUUUUAGGGUGAAGCAGCACGAUAUAAUCAUAGUAGAUCAUAGUAGACCUCUCAUUACACCUUCCCUUCCUUGAGAUGCUCUCUAGUUCUCCUCUUGAUGUUCCCUUCAAGGUUAAGGGAAUGGAGAGAAAACCGAGUGAAAAAGAUUUUGGUACUAAAUGCUGCAUCAAGCGUAAGAUUACAUAUCCCAUUAGAUAUUUAUCAAUCACUCCAUAUUAAAAGUCGGACAUCUUUCUCAUUUUUAAGAUCAGACAUACAUAACACUGUUCCGACAACACAAUAAUCCUCCUGGGCCAGGAAUAUUCAACUUCCUUUUUUUCCCCCCUCUUGCAGUGAAAGUUAGAAAAACAUAUCGGUGUAUCACUAAAGAGAAAAUUAACCUUAUCAAAUAACUAUCAAUUCAUUAUCUGACCCAAAAAGAAAUACUAUCAAUUUCAUUAGCAAACUUUGCUUUCUCAGUUCCUCAUGUGGGUUUUCGAGCAAACUUAGGCCAUUGAUACGCAAACCUAUUCAAUACAGUAACUCAAAUACUCAAAUUACGUCUUUAAUAAAACUCAAACGUAAAACAAGAUUUUUGUUAUCUGCGCCAACUUCAUGGCAUGUUAUUUGGGAAGUAACCGGCUGAACGGCAUCUGCCUAACAUUUUUGUUUCCAUGAUGCCAUUGCUUUGGCCAUUGCUCGGCUUUACACAAGGAAACUAAUUAUCAUCAGUUCGGGGAACUCCAAUUACAUUCUGGGAAAAUUCAAUUCCAUGACUAACUGAAAAGCAAGAAAGCUUUGAUCAGCUACUUAUAUCCUUUAGCUUGACCAUGGCGGCAUUACACCUUUGCUACCAAAAGUUCAGUGUAACAGCCGAUUCGUCCACAACAUUUUGAGCCUUAUCCAUGUUUAUAUGCAUCCUCUUGAGUCUUGACAGUAUAAUCAAACGAUAAUUACUGUAUUUAUCAAGACCCAGAUAAUGUGAUGAUACAAAAUAUUCUUAUUGAAGCAAGAGGUAGAGCAAGUCCAAAAAAGAUAAAUAGAUUAUAGAACAUGCCAAGAAAUUACAAGCGAAUGGAAGAAAUUUUGUGAUUCAGCACACAUCCGGUCUCGACAUUGACAAGGACUUCAUCACAAAGCCCUACCCUUUCACGGCCUCUUAUUUUCUUUUCAAUUCCCAUUUUGAGGUGUGCUAUCCAAACUCAAAUAUCUGCAGACUUGACCUCCUUUCCUCAGCUUUAAGCCUUAAUAGCUUCACAUUUCCCUAUGGCUUAGACAUUGAAUCCAAUAUGAAUUAUUCUCUCUUUUUUUGGGGGGGCCUAGAUAGCAACAAUGCUAUCAUAGGGCACAGCCAGUCCGCAACAAGAGGGUCUACAGUCUGAAAUGGCUUUAAAAAAUUCAACGAAAAAAAUCCCUGGCCUCUCUAAUGGAUGCCACAAAAUUAGAACUCUUUUUGCAUCAGUAAAAAGACCGGCACCCAUUACCUUUAGAACCUCAUUAUAGCCCCGGGCGACCAGCCAUUUUUACUGUACAGUUCGUGUCGUAACAAUUCAGAACUACAAGUUCCUUGACAUCAAGGUGGAUUUCUUCCUCAUGUAUUGUACACCAUAUGCUGCAGUAGAAGCCACUGUAGUUGAAGCUACCAACAAACUGCACCAGAGACACUUGAUGUUAAAUUUAUCAACCUUGUUAAAACAGAAAUAUCCUUGGUUGUUGUACUACCUCAAGUAUGUGAUUACAGGUUGAGUUUCUGGAGUCCCAAACUCUGGUUGAAGAAGAGCUGCAGCAACUAAAACCAGCUGGAAAACUGUAUUAACCUGCCAUCAGUUAAGGUCCUUGUUAGAAACUAGAAGAUUUUGGCUAAAUAAACACUCACAUGAGCCAGCUUUCAUGUUUUGUGCAAAAUUUUUCCCCUUACAUGAAAGUUUUACCAAAUGCCUACAGGUAGUCAGCUUAGGGAUGUCCCAACUAUGGGAACACAAGAUUAAUUUGGAUUCUGUCUCUACCGUAUAAGAUAUUAAAAUUUCAGUUCUAGAACACACAGGAAUUACCUUAUGUCAUAUUCACUCUUACGAAGAGAAAUAAAUUAUCCUCCCUAAAUUUUUAGAGUGAUAACCAAAUUAACCUCUACAAUGAAUUCUAAUGUCAAUGCCUCCUAUUUAUAGCCAAGGGUUUAAAAUAAUAAAAUAACAAACAAGACUACAUUGACUUCAGCGGAGACAUGCACCAAUGUUGGCUGAAUCCAUUACUGAUGAAGAGACAAAAUCAUGAAAAUUACCUUGCUCAGAAAGAGAGGUUCAACCUUCUGGGGACAGGUUCCAUCAAGGUUGACAAAAUCAGACCAGCUUUUCCACUGAGAGAAGACAUCAAAGUUUCCAACCAGGAGUUUAGUUAAUUUACUACUCAAAUCAUCAUACCGAAAUAAAAAAAAUUGCCCAUAAACAAGGUUCAAAAUUAGGUAAUCUCACCUUCCAUUCCAAGAUACUAGCUCUUUGAUAAAGAGCACCGCCAACUAGAGCAACAUCUCGCAACACAACAAGUCCAACAAGUCCAGCUUCACAACAGAAAAACCAAACAGAAUCACUAACCCAAGACAGACAGAGAACAGUUUUAUACUACAUUCAGGGAAAUGGGUUUGCACUAAUGCUAUCAUUGCCUGUUUAUUUCAAUUUUUUCUCCUUCUCAUAAACAUCAGAUCUUCUUCAGCAGCUGAAACAAAAUAAAAUGAGGGAAAAAGCCAAGAUAACUUACGGUGAAGAAGAUCCACAUGUACCAUUGCCAAAGCAACACAUCCAAUAAGAAUCUGAGUAUACCAAAAUCAUAUUAUCAAACAAGGAUUAACCCCUUAUUUUAUCCUAAUAAAAGUAACCAGUCAAUAGAAAUACUAAAUAACAUUAGGCUUAGCUACAAAUGAACUUUUACCUUGUCGGCAAGAGGAUCAAGGUAUGAGCCAACUACAGAAUCAAUUUUCAUCCUCCUAGCAAUAUAUCCAUCUAGCUACACGACGAAAUACAAAUGAAAAUCAAUAUCCCAUAUUUUGGAAAACUGUAAAUAGUUUCCAUACAUUAAAAAAUCAUCUUACCCAGUCGGUUGCUCCAGAGAUAGCCAACGCCACAAGUGCUGAUGAAUACAUUUCAUUUGUGAUCAUCCUGGAAUGAAACUUGUUAAUCACCCUUCCCCUCUAAUCCACGGAGUGACAGAUUCAUUCAUAGAAGAAAUUAAAGAAACAAAGGUCUCAUAAAUAACAAAUGCUGAAACGACAAACAUAAGAAACUACAAGUUGAUGCCAUCAACAUUGCCUCAAAGAAAAGCAUCCUCCAUGAAUUGUACUAAAAUUAUAGUAUAGAUGGCCUUUUAAUUUCCUCUCAUUUUACCCCAUUAUCUAAAAUUCUACUCACUACUUUUUUUUCUUCUCUCAUUUUUUACAGCAACCAAACGAAACAUAAAGAACAAUACUUCAUCCUCAAACAACGACAGCAAAAUCAAAAGUUUUAGAAAAAUAAUAAUAAUACAAUCAAGAGAAAACAAAACAUAAUACCAAGCAAUGAAAGGCCCAGAAACCAAACGACUCAUGGAGACCAAAUUCGGCAAAUUCACGAAACUCUUCACUAGGCCACGUCUCUCCGCCUCUUCCUUUGACCAGACCGGGUCCACCACAUUCGGUCGGUGAAAACCCAACGCGGAAGGAAGAUUAGUGUGACCCCGAAUCAAGUCGAAAUUCAAGGCCUGAACUUUCCUGAGAACGACACCGUUAAGGGGAGUGGCGGAUUGGGAAAGCUUCCAGGGAGGGGAGGACAGGAAGAGAGGGCCCUGAAACGGAGCGAUCCAUUUGGAGAAUGGAGGUCUGUGAGAGAGAUGGGUGCAAAACGGCGGCGUUAGAAACAGAGCGGCGUUAUUGGCAGUGCCAGUGCCAGUGGCAGUGAAGUACGGGAGGGUUUUGCUCUUUGAGCUUUUGGCGAUUAUGUUUUUGAUGGAUCUAAAGAUCGCCAUUCUUGAUCAUGAAGCAUUCAUUAUACUAAUUUGAAAUUCGUAAUUCGUCUUUUUUUGAAAUUUCUGCUCUUCGGUUGCUAAGGUUUUAGGGAUACGUGUCCGAGUUUACACGUGGUUUGCGUUGACGCUUACACGUGCAAGCUGCCCGAGAGGGUUUUUCACCUUGUCUUCUUCCACACCGUAAACUUUGACGCAGUUCGCAUUGUUGAAUAAAUUUAAGAGUUGCAUGCUCAUCCUAUGUUUAGUAGAAUACUCUCUUGCCCUAAUUCAUAAAUUUUUACGUAAAAAUUCUUAGAUUUUUCUCUUCUUUUUUCCCUUUAAUAAAAUUGGCAUUAUUCAUUAAUUGAAUGGAAAAAAAAAAGGAAUAAAGCCUCCUUUUAUAGGCUUGCAACUAUAUAUAUAUAACUACCAAGGUAAACAAUUCGUAAAUAUAUAAGUAAAAUGAAUCAUGAAAGGCUAAAAGUUACAUGGAUGGAUAUUGACAUCAAAAUGAAUAUUUUCAUAACAUUGUUUAAAUUAUUUGAAAUUAGAUUUGACUCGUUAAAUCUAAGUUAUGUAAACAUGUUUUCAAUAGAUUGAUAUUUUGACUAUGCCAUAACAUAAUCACUUGUUAAUCGCUAUAACUAACUUAUCUAAGUCGAGUCCGGACAAACGAUAUCUAGAAUGAGCUAUAAUAAAACUAUCUAAACAUUUUUUUUUUGCAUAUUUUUUUAUUGUAAAUAUGGUAAAAUUGUAAUAUUUUUAAGACUUUUUCUAUACGUAAUGGAUUUCUAACCAAAAGACUUAAAAAGAUGCAUGCAAUUGUCUUCGAAUUUUAUGUCUCAUGGAUAAUAGAAUCUUCCACAAAAUAUUAAUAUAGGAUUUAGACUAUUCAUAGAAAUGAAUUAUUAGUUUCAGUUAGUUAAUUAAGAGGAACAACUUAACAACUUGGUGUUGUCUUUGUUCUCCAUUCUAUUCUCUUCUCUAAUUUAGGAAAACAUUACCGAAUUACAUGCGUGUGAAGAUUAAUUCUGGCGAAACCAAUACUGAUUACAUUGUCCAGAACAAUCGAAGAAAUUUGUUCUGUGUAUGGUAUUUCUGUUCCCGACAUUUUCAUAAUACUCCUGUGACUUUUUCCUUCAAAAUUUACAGCUUUUAUAAUCUGAGAAUACGUGCUAGUUAUUAGCAAGGGCCUCUGCAGGUUUCGGAAUAAGAUAUUUGAUCAAUAACAUUGACUCAGUUCUCUUUAAAGGGUGUUUGGUAGAAUUUCGUUAAGGAACAAGAGGGAGGAGAUGAACUGCUUUCAUUGUUGCAAGGCAGACCAUAGUCUUUCUUUUAAAGAUAAACGCAGUGCACACAAGAGAGACAACACUUUUUCGGCUUUUAUCCACAGCAUGUCACACAAAACAGGUAUGUUAUAUAGAAAACGUAACGUGAUUGUUCCAUUAUCUAGAAUCUGUUGGUAGAAAAUCCGUUUAAAUGUUAUGGACAUCAAAUGCUAGAUACCUUUUUGGUCAAUGAAAUGGCUAGAAGUUUAAUCCGUCAAUCAUCACGGCGUUCUGUCAAUUGAGAUGAUUGCGCGUAUGAAUUUUGGUGACAAUUAGAUUUUGUCACCACUAGUUAUGCAAAGUUCUUGAUAUUUGAAUAUUUUGCGGUUUGAACAGAUGAAAUUCUGAUAUUUCAUGUUAUAGGAAAAAAACUGUCCUCUUUGCACAUGUAAUUCAUGCAUGUUAUGGAUCUGCAGGAAGCAGCAAGCAGAGACGUAUAGCUGCUGAGAUUCGGAAAUUUGGAAAGGCGAAAAAAACUCCCAACGUUUUCAAAUAUCAAGAACUGGCUGACGCCACCGAAAACUUCAAUCCUGAUUGUUUAGUGGGUGAAGGAGGAUAUGGGAGGGUGUACAAAGGAUACAUUGAAGCCGUUGAUCAAGUCUCUCUCUCAAUCUGGUCUUGAUGAAAUAUCGCUUAUGCGCACACAUGUUUUAAAACAAUCUUUGAGUCUCAUUCUUUGUUUCAUUUCUUCAGGUUGUGGCUGUAAAGCAAUUAGAUAGGAGUGGAAACCAAGGAAGCAGAGAAUUUUUCGCAGAAGUUUUGAUGUUAAGUCUGGUUCAACACCAGAACCUUGUCAAUUUGAUUGGAUAUUGUGCAGAUGGUGAUCAAAGGAUUUUAGUUUAUGAAUUCAUGUCCAAUGGAUCUUUGGAAAAUCACUUUCUUGGUACAACCAUUAUAUUCUUCAACUACGUUUGAAUAAUUUUUGCUUUAUUUGUGAGAUAUUCUGAUUGCAUUCCUUUCUUACAGAUUUACCUCCAGAUCAGGAGCCUCUAGAUUGGUUUACGCGAAUGAAGAUAGCAGGAGGAGCAGCAAAAGGGCUUGAAUACUUGCAUGAUGUUGCCGAUCCACCAGUAAUAUACCGCGAUUUUAAAGCGUCAAACAUAUUAUUAGAUGCAGAAUUCAAUCCAAAACUGUCUGAUUUUGGACUUGCUAAGUUAGGUCCAACAGGAGGAAAGGAUCAUGUGUCUACAAGAGUUAUGGGGACAUAUGGUUACUGUGCUCCAGAGUAUGCAAUGACAGGUCAACUGACAAAAAAGUCCGAUGUAUACAGCUUCGGUGUUGUGCUCCUGGAGCUUAUCACAGGUAGAAGUGCUAUUGAUAAUUCAAGACCAAGUGAAGAGCAGAAUCUAGUUACUUGGGUAUGUUAAUAUCCUGAAAAGAAUUCCUCGUUCCAAUUAAUAUACAAUCAUAUUUGUAACAGUUCCCAAUUUAUUGUAGGCAAAGCCAUUGUUAAGGGACAAGAAGAAGUUUACAAUGAUGGCUGAUCCAUUGCUGGAAGGACAAUACCCUCGGAAGGGUCUGUAUCAAGCUCUUGCAGUUGCAGGAAUGUGUCUCCAGGAGGAUGCUGACUCUCGACCUUUCAUGGUAGAUGUCGUAACAGCUCUAGAAUAUCUAUCUAGUCCAGUAACUGAUGAAAAAUGUAGUCCAAUAACUGAUGAGAAAGGUAGUGAUUUAAGUGGGCCGUUUGUUGACUCUAUUAGAGGACAAAGAAUCAAUGGAAAGCAAGAGGCCUAGUGUUGCUGGGGCAUUGGAUGUAUAGUAGGUUCUGUGAAACAGAUAAUAUUCAGAAUCUGACAUAGGAAUCUACAAAUUUUUGUAUAAUGAUGAAAUCUCUUCUCUCAUUCCCACUGCUGAAUUGCUGUUAGAUUUAAGAGCAUGUAUAUGACCUUGUAACCCUUGCCUGAUUAGCAAUUAGGCAGCUGGACUUGUGAGGCUGUAACUGGAGCCCCAGUACCGUGAAUUACUGCAAGCUGUUGAUAAUACAAAAUUGUUGGACUGAAAACUGCAAUAUUUGCUUUCUUAUCUGACAAAAUUUUAGGCAUCUUUGUGCUCAAAAUGAGUCUUAUUCAUGUGAAAGCUACUUCCACCGUUUCUCAUGUUCAAAUGUCAAAUCAUUUAUGCAAAUGCAGUUUAAAACUUCCUUUUUUUUUUUUUUUUUUUUCGAUGUAACGUGAUUGGCAAAUAUCAAGUUUGGUGGUGUUGGAAUUGCAAGAUUAUGCAUUUCGUAUUUAGAAAUGGGGUGUUUAAUAUCAACGUCAGCAAUUUGAAACUUUUGUAAUCUUUGUUGAUCUGUCAGUUCUCAAAGAACUUAUAGAGGCGAGAACUUCUACUUACUCCUAUUACUUCUGAUAAUGAAAACUUUUUACAAAUCAAAUAUGUGCGCAUCAUACUUCAAGAACUGAUCUUACAGGAAGGAUCAAAUCCGCCCCUGAUCAUGUGGAAAAAUCUAAAUCUGUCAGAGUUGAAUGAAACAGCAUAGUAGCAACAAUUCUGGUAUCAGAAGAGCAGCAGUUUCAUGACUUUCACCAGAAGAUUGAAUUUCUGAGGAGGUUAUUCUGGCAAGAAAAAUUCAUGAUUGCUCACUAGACACUGGAUUCUGAAGAAACUAUGAAAUUAUAAGUAUUGUCUCGCUUUAGAAAGGAAUGCAUCUGCCUUUUGAUAUUAUGACGAGAAAGAUGAAACGAUCAUCGCAUUUGGAAGGCAGAGUAGAAGAAGCCUAAGCAACAAUACCUUGAGAAGAUUACUUAAAACAAAAAAAUUAAGAAAAACAUGAGCACUCUCAUGCUCAUCCCUGACAACAACCCUUUCAAAGAUCUAGUAGGAAGAUAAAACCUGAUAGGACAAUCCGAUACUCCCAGAAUAUGGUUUUCUGAGAUUCCCCAUUGAGUGAAUGAAUAACAGACUGGCCAGGUAAUCACGAAAUCAUUGUUAUCUCGGCUCUCCAAGAAGACCAACUAAAUGUGCAAGUUAUUCACAUCAUUCUUCAGGAUCCUGUAGUUGAACCCAGGAAUCCCAUUCAACUGAUUUCUGUCAGCAACUUCUACAGCAGAGCAUAUGCUUGGAAGGAUACAGCUGCUGCUGCCUCUUCGCCUCUUCCUCUUCCAUCUCAUUAUCACAAACCAGAAACUAUUCCUGGAAUGACCACUGCUGGAAGCUAUGUCAACAAUCUGUCCCUGAGGUUUCCUAAUACUUGCACAUUGCUGUAGCUCAAAUUUAUUGAAAUAUUCAAUCUCCCUCCUGACAAGGGAUCCCACAGUUCCCCUGGUGCCUAUAGCAACUGGAGGAGUUGCAGCCAUUUUCUCCGAGAAUUUGGUGUUUGUGUUGCAGGCUUUAUGCUGCAUUAUAUAUUCUUUAAGGUAUAACUCAAGUGAUGUAGGAGGCUUCUGGAUGAAGAAAUUGGUGGCCCCAGCCCUGGGUCGGGGAAUUCUCUUUGGUCUUUGUAAAAGUUUUAUUGAUACUACUUUAUUAAAGUGGACAGCAUGAGUUUUUGCAUGAUUGAAGCUCUUUGAUAGACAAAUUGACAUCAUAUUUGUUUGUUAUGCUUUUCUCAUGUCAUCAUAUAACUGUUGCACUGGCAAUGAAAGCAUGCAUGUUCUCCGGAUAAAUUGUUUCACCCUUUCACCCUUUUUUAUCAAUUACGUUUGGUCACGUAAUUAGUCGUUGCUUUUCAACAGUUGGAUUGUGAUUGUGAAUAGUACGACCUGAACUGGCCGAUCAGGUAUUCUGAAUUAUUGUGCUAAAACAACAACAUGCUGCUAUGAUUUCUUAUAAUUUAUGUUAGGUCAAAUUUCUUUUCUUCCGUGUAAGCUUGGAUAAAGAGUGAGUCAAGAGAGAGAGCAUUUUCAUUGUUCUCUUCACAAACUAAUGCUUUUAUAGACAACCUGAUUUUGGUGCCAUAGAUGUUGCUGCUGGUUCACAUGAUUAACAGUAAUUCAAGGUAGUAGUGCCAGAUAUCAUUUCUUUCAUUUGCUGAGAAAAUAGGUUAAUUUGUAAGGCUUUAAAAUAAUCUAACAGUUGCUAGGUCCAAGAAAGUGGUUGCGGUGGAACAUCCUCUAAGGAUUGUCGUCAUAUAGGAAUAAGUGGAGACCCCAUCGUCAUCUAACAAGCAAUUGAAAGGCAAAGCUUCACCAUCAAAAACGCAACCAUUGAACAACGAAAGAGUACUUAAAAAACACUUAUAAUCACUUAAAUGGUAGGCUUCCACAAUGGAAUGCAUUUGCUCUGUUGCUUUUAAGUGUCAGUUCACAAUGGAAUGCAUUUUCAAGCAUUUAAUUGUCAGCUGAAGGACAUCAUCCAUGACAAAAUAAUUAGGGAGAGCGGGCACUAUCGAAAAGAGUUGAAAGAUGACAAGAAGUUCACCAUUUCACUAUCAGCUUAUUGAUCAUUUCAUUUGCUCAUCAAACUACAGUACCGUGCUGUUGAGAAUACAGUCACGCAUUUGUAUCCAUUCAUCAGAAAAGCAUUAUAGGCACAGGUUGUACUGUGCCACCACGUGAGUGAAUUACUUGGGGACCUCAUACAAGAACUAAAGUUUUUCAUUACCCACUUGAUUAAAAUUGCUAAUCUGGACUAUUCUAUUAGCUUUACAACAUGCAGUACUGAUCAGGUAGGUAAUCACAAGCAUCAGAUCAAUCAUCAAUGUACAUUCAAAUGCCUCUGUAAAAUGCCCAUUCAAGUUUGGGGUUCAGAGAUAGGAGACUUGCAUAAAUGGAUGACUAAAAGGUAAAGCUUUCAGGCAAAACUAAGUCUAAAAAUCUUAUAAUUCACAAAAAGGAAAGUAAGUUAAUUAAUAAACUCCUGCUUAUGCGAUCAAUAAAAGACAACAAAUUUUCUGUAAGCCUCAAAAUUGGAUGUCCCCUCUCAUUUUUGUAUUCACACUCAUCUAUAUUCUUAUUUCUUUUGAUUUCUUUCUUUCUAUUAUUUUUUUCAACUUUUUCCCUUUCUUCUUUUUCCUUUUUCUUCAUAUUCUUGUAUGAGAAUUAUCCAAAAAUCUACCGUAUACCAGGAAGAUGGCAGAUAUACCUCAGCUUCCUAUGUGAGGCAAGAGCUUUUUGUAAAGCAGCAUCUACUCUUGCACCUUCUCGAAACAGAAAGUCAUAUAAGUGACAGAUGAACUGCGACAGCUCCUCUUCUUCGUCAUCCCAAACACCCAUCAAAUGUUCCCCACUCUUCUCAGGUUCACUAUCCUCCCAGUCACUCACUGGACUGGAAGGUUCAACAUCUUCAUCUUCCGCCUCUUCCUCUCCGAUUUCAAACCUCCCAUUUUCCACAACAUUGAACUCUCCAGAUCCAUGGAAUGAUGUGAGCGACAUUUCCCGUGGUUCAGCUGAAGGGCAAACAACAGCUUUGGCACCGGAGUCUAGAAAUGCCUUAACUACAGGUGGGGUAGGCCCAUAUGUUCCUGUGCAAAUUAUGAUCCUCUCCCUCCAAGCUCCAAUCUGGGAUAACAACAAACAUUGGUAUCAACCACAUCUUCGAGGGAGAAUAAAAAGAGACUUCAACCUUAUCAAAAAUCAUUAUAAAAUUAAAAAAGGUAAAAAAUAAAAUUCAAAGCUUUUCAAACAAUUAAGGAUCUGAAACUUAUAGCUGCAUCAGCCACAUAAAUGCAAAUAGAAAACUGAGUGCAGUUCAUUAAUAUCUUCUAGUAAAAAAUGCCUAAGGUUUAACAAAUACUGCCAUGCAAGGGGAAACUAAAUCCAUUCAAGGAAAUAUAACAACGAUGAAGAUAGACGAGCAACGCAUAUUACAAGUCAAGAAGUACGAUUAAGCAUCAUCUGCCAAUUUUCUCUAUCUAUAGCUGUGAAAUUCCAUAGAAGUUGGAGAUGAAGGGAUAACUAAGUAAAAGUACAUACCAUCCAACGAACAUCAUCAGGUGUUAAGUGCAUGGAAGGGACAGUUCUACGAAACAUAUAUGCUGCAAUUUCAUGGUCAUCUUCCAUAACCUUCCCAAACAUCACAAGACAGAUUUUUAGUUUGAUAACCCCUGACAAGCAACAGAAGAUCAUCUAAAUGAAAGGAAAAUGUAGAGGAUGCGUACUUGGGUUUGGCGUCCUAUAUAACGGUGGACAACAUUUCCCACUUGGAAGUAUGGUCUAAAGUGAAUCAGAUCAGCAAUUGUUGAUAUAUUGGAAAGAACUGAUGCACCCUUUCUACGGUUGCUCCGCAUCACUGAUAACAAACUUGACUUGACGCUCUGUAGAAACUUGUCUGCAUGUUCACCAGGUUCAGCAACCACAAACACAUCAUUCUGCCAGCUAAUAAAUAAGCACAUCACAAUUAGGAAUAUGAGUGAAACUGAACAAUAAGCACAUCACAGUUAGGAAUAUGAGUGAAACCGAACAGACACGAGAGAGAAUAAGAAUUUAACACAAAGGUAAGGUCAUGCUGACCUUAAUAUUGAGCCGACUGUAUCAUUUUGAAGGCACAAAUGAACAAUGCCAACUUGAGGUAAACUUUGGAGCUUCUCAUGCAAUGAUCGGACAUGUAAAGAGAGCUGCCUGUGAGCCUUAGGAGACACUGGGGGAGAUGAAAAUGUCUUUCCAGCUUGUAAUCCAUCCAAGCUUAAAGGUGGAACCAUAUCUAUUCGGCCAAUCCUCUGUGGACCAACAUCUGGACUGUACAAAAGUGGGCUUGAGGGGAAACUUCCAGUGAUCAAGGGAGAGGAAAAUGGUGUGGGGAAUGUUGCUCCAGGCAUAGACUUCCCAAUUCCGGAAAUUCCAUGCAAAAGAGAUAACCUUAUUCCAUUACUAGCACAAAAUGAUUCAAGUGCCCGAGCAUGGUGCCCAACUCUUCCUGAAUCAGGACUAUGCAUAGCUUCAACAAGCAGUACAUUACGCCUCCAACCUAAGGAUGGGCUAAUCUCAUCUAAAAUUCCAGGAGAGAGGGGAAAAAAAAGCGUUCAGUGGGAAGAUUAUCAUAUAUAUAAAAACUAUAUAAAAUCAGAGAAAAUAUAAGACAUGCUACCUGUGUUAGACACCUUUCCUCGGGGAAAAUGCUGAGAUUUCAAAUUCUCUGACCACUUCUCAUCUUGUUGGAAAGGUAGAAGCAGUCUCUCACAGACAUUCUUGAAGGACUCAGAAUUGUUAUUGAUGUAUUCAUCAACUGCAGCUUCCAACUUAAGCCACUCUGCUGGAUCAGUCUCAUCCAGCUCCAUCUCACAUCGUUCAUCAACUGUGGGCAAAUCAUGUGGAAUACUAAGUGACAGUCAUGAUUCUUUCAUAAAAUGACAGUCUUUAGGAAUAUCUUUCCAGAUAAAUAAACGAAGUACAGGAAUAAAACUAUAUCAAAUGACAACUGGUCAGUAUCCUGUCAAGGUCAAAUAGAAAAGAUAGUCUUUCACAUAUGAUGCUCAAAGAAAAAAUAAAACACUACAGAUUCCCAAAGGAUGGCCCAGUUGGUUGGCCUCUUGCAGGGGAAGCAAGAAAUCAAUGUUCAAGUCCAAGGGGAUACUGUUAAUUUGAGGGUGACAAGAGGUUCCUCGGUAACAACAAAAAGAAAAGAAAAGUAAAGAAAACAUUACAGAUAUAGAACCUGGAUUAAACCGGUAGUACUGAAUUUCAGGAAGCAUAGGCAGCAAUGUGCUUAAUGCUUCCUCCGCCCUAUCUACAGAGCACGCACUCUCAAUCAAGACUUGCCCAGUAUCCAGAUAACGCCAACCACCUCUCCGAGUCUGCAAAUACAAUGUUUGCUUGCAAGAGUAAGGGAUUAUAAUCACUAGAAAACACAAGUGCUAUUGUCUAGUAUUGUAAGAAACCUUUGUAGUCCAGCAUUCUAAUCAAGUCAUACCCAGAUUUCUUACCUACAGUCAUCUCAAUACUUCUAAGAGUCCAACAUGGAACAGAAAUGCCUAAAAGAAGCUUGUGAAGUGGAAGAUAUUGUUUAAUCAUCCUUUUCUCAACCAAAACCAAAAAAAAAAAAAAAAAAAGUCUUGAAGGGAGCGACAAAUACUACGCUGAAAUGAGAGCUCCCAGUCAUCAAAAGAUAUUUUGAACCAGUUCCAGUAUAAAAGCGACACUAGACUUAAUUUAUGAACAUGCACUCCUAUUAAAACGUAUUUCUUGAAAAUAAAGAAUUAAAUGCAGAUGAUCAUACAAGUUGAUUUUUGAAUUUGUUUUCCUUGUUAAUAGAGUCUUUAUUUAAUAGGAGUGCAUGUUCAUAAAUUGAGGGUCGGUCUAUCUGAUAAAUGAAUCACAGUUCAACACAAUAGAGAAUAUCCAGCAGCAUGCCACUGAAUAUGUCCAUCUAAAGAUUUUUCAAUAUAAAACUAUUGAAAAUAAAGACUCUAUUAACAAGGAAAAAAAAUUCAAAAAUCAACUUGUAUGAUCAUCUGCAUUUAAUUCUUACUACACAGGACAGUGCCUAGAUGGCAGCGGAGGACUUCCCCAUGUGGACUGUGGAAAAGGUUGGGAAUUUCAAGCUUUAUGAAUCAGUGAAAAUUUUAAAUUGAAUAUACAUAACGAAGAAGAUCCUUUAUUUAUGAAAGGGAAAUCAUCUCUGCACCCUUUUGUUUUGUCACAUGUAAAUUUAACCAAUACAAAAUUUUGGUAUGUUCUUUGCACCACCUUUGUCUCUAAACUCAUAUCAAUCAAUCACUUUGACAAUAAAAAUAACCAUUUUACCACUAAAUGAGUUAAAAGACUAUUUUAUUCUAUAAAAUUUUGAAAAAUAAAAAAACUAUAAUUACAAAAGUACCCCUAAAUUCAAUAAAACAAAUAAAUCUCAAAAUCUAAGAUGAUAAUUUUUAAAUGAAAUUAUAAUUAUAAAAAAUUAACACGUUGUAAUUAUAAUUUUUUGCAAUUUUAAUUUCAUUUAAUUUUUGUUAUUAAAUUAAGCAUAGGGAAGUUUACAAAACAUGAAGAGAAAAGUUCACUACAAUUAUUGUAAUCCCUAUAUUAUUGUAAACUUCCCUAUACAAAUUAAAUGAAAUUAUAAUUAGAAAAAAAUCCACAUAUUGGAUUUAGAUUUAUUUAUUUUAUUAAUUCAGGGGUAUUCUUGUAAUUAUAAAUUUUUUUUUCAAAAUUUUGUAAACUAGAAUGGUCUUUUAAUUUAUUUAAGGCUAAGAUAGUCAUUUUGUAGUGUUAAAGUGGUUUAUUGAUACAAACUUAAAAAUAAAUGUGGUGCAAAAAACAUGUCAAAAUUUUGAGGUGGUUAGAUAUACAUAUGACAAAAUAAAGGUGGUGCAAAGAUAAUUUCCCUUUAUGAAACUUCACUAAUUCAUGCAAAAACUGUGACCAAAGGAAAAAGGUUAAGAACUAACAUUAAAGCCAGAAUCUAAUAACCCUCUCUCAGAAAACAAAAUUAAGAAACUGUUUACCUUUGUUGGAACAGAGCCACACCCAAUGGAAACUAAGCAGUCUAUCCUUGUGUCAGGCCAUAGAAGUUGUGCUUCUCUGAUGGCAAAUAUGGUAGGAUUGUUUGCUACUAUUGCACCAUCUUGCCAGCGGAAUACAUCUGUGAAGUUGUUUCGGAACAUUUAAAAAUUAGAAUAGAAGAACAAAAAAGGAUCAAAAUGGCCAAGCACGAACAACUGGAAAAAAAAGGUGCAAGAAGAAUGCACCAUCUGAGAAAUCGUCGAGAUAAUAAGGAGCUGCAGAUGACGCUCUUAUAGCUUGCCAUACUUGAUGCUUACAACUCCCAAUAAAAGCACUGCGUUUAUAACCAACUUGAGCACCAGUAGUAGGUGAUCCCAGCACAGUGAUUCCGGAACUUUCUGAAAUUGAAAAAGGAACUUCUGGUGUUCCAGCAGGGUACUGCAUGUUGAAACCAUAAAGAGAAGUCAGAAUAAUUACCAUAAUUUAAAAAAUCACGCUACAUAUAUGCCAGAACAAAACAGAAAAAUAACAAUCCUGGAAAUAAAUUGAUGUGUCCAAAUUACUCUGAGAGAAAGAAGUAUUUCUGUCAAACCUGAUAAUUGCGGAAUAUGAACGGCUGUGCUGGCAUCACAUUCACCAAAGUUGACACAGUAAAAACUUUGGGAAUGUUUUUCACAGAUGAUUCUAUCAAUAGAUCCCCAUCCUCAUCAGCACACAUUUCCUUCAACAACCUCUCAAACUGAUCUGCACUGUGCUGCAAGAAAAAAUGAAAUUAUCUAAUUUCAAGGCAUUAAAUAUCUGAAACUGUUAAUGGCAUUUAUCUAUUUAAACUGUAACUUUAUAUUAUCAACUAAAGUACCUCUUGAUCAAGAAAAUUUACAACAAAGAGGCAAACAAGGACAAAGGCUCAUAGACCAGUCUAAAAUGAAGAACAAGAUCUGCAUGAUCCGACUUGUGUAGUUGGACAUAAAUUAUUGAUUUCUGUGUAUAUACUAAUUUUAUGCAUGCGUCUAUUCACAUGUGUCCAUACUGCAAAUUUAUCAAGGAGAGAAGAAAAAUCAAAUAGAAAGAACAAUCCGUACUUUAGAUCCAUGUACAACAACUCUAAAGCUCUGCGAUGAACUUUUAUAAAUUUGAUCCAACUUUUCUCUCCAUGUUGCAGCUUCAUUGUCUUUUGGAAAAGGCUCAGCAAAGACAAGUUUCCCUAAAGAACCAUAAUUGCAGAAUGAGACAAGUAAAUUGAACAAAUAAAUAAGCCAUUCGGAAAAGCUAAUUUUUGGCUCCCCAAACUCACCCAGAUUUUUGUAUAUUUCUUCACACUGAUCCAAGGUCAUUAGCUUAACAGCAAGAGCAAUAGCAAGCAUGCCACCAGUUGAUGUGCCACAUACAAGAUCGAACAACUCAUGUAUCCGCUUACCAGUUCCUUUCUCAAUUUCUUUAAGAAUUUGGACUGUUGCCAGACCUUUCAUGCCACCUCCAUCCAUUGAGAGAAUGCGCAGUCCUUGUUUUGGAACUUGUCUCCCCCUUAUGGCACGCCGCAAACUUUCAUUUUCUCCUACAAAGGCACACGAUGAAUUGACCAGGCCUAUUUGGUUAAAUGAUCUCAAAAUACAGCCAAAGACAGAUUCAGAAACUUACCGAGAAUUGCCAAAGCACGAGCUGCAGCUUUAUUUACACGGGGUUCAGGUCCAACAGUCAAACGCAUCAAAAGGUCUCGCAAACUUUCAGAAGUAACUAGAAUACGGCGAUUCUCCAAACAGAAGGCCAAAUUUCCAACUGCAAGCAAAGCAAACCUUUGUACCUAACAAAAGAUGAACUUUUCAACAUUAGAUGACCACUGCAUAACCAAUCGGUACACACCAGGAAAUUUGUACUUGCCUCUGGGUUUUUAUGUGCACAUAACAAUUUUAAUGACUUCAACACAUCUUUAGUCAACAUCUUCUGAGCUACAGUAUCAGAUGCAAAAGCCAACUGUCCCACAACUUGCAGAACAGAUUUUACUUCUUCUGGAGCAAAAGAUUUUAGCACUGCUAUAAUAGGUUGCAUGAUGUCACAUUUCAUCAACAGCAUUGCCACAGAUACAUCUCCAGCAAGGGAUGAUAGAGCAGAGCAUGCUUGUUCGACCUGCCAGAGAAGUAAGAAUAUUAAGAAAGUGCCAAACAAAAGAACAAAUAAGCAGGUUGGACUUCUUUCAUGGUUACAAGUGUGAGAAACAUACCACAUGACGGUUAUCACUACUUAUCAUACUAAUAAGCUGCCGCACUGCAUUUUCAUCUUUGCCAACAACUACCCGGUUUUCUUGGUCUUGCAUAAUCUUUGCCAGUGCAGAUGCUAGUAAAGGGUGAUGACAGGAAGAGAAACGGAAUAUGAGAGAGAAGAAGGCACUAAGCUUGUGUCUAGAUGCUCCAAAAUAAGAAUUGUUCUCCAUCUGCAACCAAAGAAAAAAGUACAAUGAAACUUAAUAAUUAUCUCUAGCUUAAGAAUGCCAAAAAAUGUUCAAAAAGCUUUAUCAACCACUACCUCGAUUUGGACAUUGACUGAUCUAAGGUUUUCAUCAGCCACAAUCCUAAUAUUUGCAAGAGACAAGUGUCGAAGUUUAAGCAGUGGCAAAAUUUCUGGAAGGAAUUCAAGGGGGUUUCCAAAGAGCCUUAGAAUUUUCAAUUCUGCCAUAGCCCUGCCAUUCAAAUGGAUAGACACAUUAGAGACAAAGAAAACUAUAGAUGCUACAAGCUUAAUUGAUGAAGUUAACAAGUUAUAGACUCAAGAAUGAUAAGUCACUGUCAAAUUGACCUGAAAUCAAGAAGAGGCCGAACAAGCCUGUUGUGUUCUAAUGAUAACUCCACCAGUCCUACACACUCUCUCAGUUCAACUGCAUAUAAUUUAAAAAGAAAUCAAUUAAGCAGACAAAUUGCACGAGACAUAAGCAGACUAGGAAUCCACAUCACAAGGAGUUUUCUGCUUGCUACGGAACUUGUAUGUUAAGCAAGUCAAUAUAGACAUACAUACACAUAUAACAGUUCCAUGCUUACCAGGAACAGAAACAAGCAUGUUGUUGUCAACAAUGAGAACUUUUAAAUUCUUCAUGGCACCUAGCUCAGGUGGCAAAGUUGAUAACUUGUUGUUAUCAAGGUAAAGUUUCUCUAGAACCGGCAAACGGGUCAAAUCAACUGGCAACGCCUGUCAAAACCAUAUAUUAAAACUGUUUGAGUGCUACCAAAAAUUGAUUUAGCCAUUAGAACUUAAUUUUGCCAUUAAUCCGUUUGAAUUCACAUAAAAAAUAAAAUAUAACAAACUCACCGACAGACCAAGACCGCAUAGGCUAACCGCUGUGACAGUCUUCCAAUGGUCGCAGAAACCGGACCCCAUGUUGUUCCCCGGACCACUAGUAGACAAGUCGGAUCUCAUGAGGCGGGUCAAAACCCCAAUCCCAUCGCUCAGAUGACCCGACCCGACCCCCUUGGUCAAGACUACCGCUCGUAACGGCUCUCUCCUCUUCACCACCCUCAUUUCAACUCCCACAUUCGCCGCGUCAGUAGCAACAUCGCCCUCCUCUUGCGGCGCCAAUUCAACCACCACCGUGUCUUCCGGCACAGGCAAAGCCACCAUCAACUGCGAUUGCAACUUUAGCGCCACCUGAUCCUCCUCCUCGCCACUCGUCCACUCCAGAUCGAUCCGGAACCCUAAUUCCGGAUCUCUCGUCAUCACCGUCGGUGACGACAAAGACGAUGUUGAUGAUGACGAUGACGUAGAUAAUCGGUUGAAGGGAUCAUAUCCGGCUUCUUCGGUACCAUAACUGAGAGUCAAUUUGAAGAUCUCCAACGGUCGCUUCCAUCCCAAACCCCAAGAAGACAUUUUGCUCGAAUUCGAUCAAACGACAAUAUCAAAAUGCUUGAUCGGACGGCAGGGGAUACUUUUGUUUUUUUUUUUUUUCCUCACAUUAUAAACAAUCAUACCAUAUCAUUUCAUUGUUAAUUUUAAUGUUAGUGAGUGUGUGUGUCAGCAAUAAUUUACAAGUUAAGAUACAAUUAAGUAAAUUCCAAAAUGCCAAUUUCUGGUUAGGGUUUAAAGAUGAUGAGAGUUAAUGGCGGGAGAUAAACGAACCGAAGGUGCCGUGUAUUUUAAUUUGCUUAAUGCGGUGACUUAUUUUUGCUGUUCGCAUCUGGGGGGUUCUCACCUAACGAUGCCGUUUCAAUUGACAUAUAGUAAUACACAUAUUUAUAAUUUAUGUCACAUUACAGACGAGACAAGUGUAUUUCCUCAACAAAAACCUUUUUUUAUAUUAAGAACUAUAAAAUAGAACUGCGUUUCGCGCGGCUUUAAAAAAAGAAUUUAGUAUUAUUAUUUUUUUUUAUUUUACACUUGAUAAAACUGAUAAAAAAUAUGAAUUGAUUUUUUUUAAGAUGAAGCAUCCUUAUAAAAAAACAAAAAAAACUAUUAGCCAGCAAUAUAAAUAAAGAAGCAACGCAAGAUAAAGAAUAAAAUGAAAGAAUAUAUUAUUAGAGUGAUUUUAUUCAUUCUAAUUGUGUGUGUACAAAACAAAAAGAUUAGCUCUCCUUUUAUAGUUACAUAAUCACUCCAUGAAAUUAAUAAAAAAAUUAUGGAUCAUAAUUCCUUGUGAGAUAGUGGGAGUUAUAGGGAAGCUAAAGGUUGCUAAUGGGAGAUAGUAGGGAGACUAAGAGAUAUAUGUCAUGAACAUCAAUAUUUAUUUUAAUAAAUUCAUAACACUCCCCCUUGGAUGUUCAUUACAAAGAAUGUGCCUCAUUAAAACCUUUACAUAAUUGUUAUUGUGUAAUAACAAUCAAAUUAAUUAUGAGAAGAUGAAAAACCAAAUCUAAAAGAAAAUUUCUCUAUUUAUUAGAUAAUAGAGAAUAUACAAAGAUGAGAAAUUGUGAUGCCACAUCACCUCCUCAAGUCUCAACUUUUAAUAAAUUCAUAACACUCCCCCUUGGAUGUUCAUUACAAAGAAUGUGCCUCAUUAAAACCUUUACAUAAUUGUUAUUGUGUAAUAACAAUCAAAUUAAUUAUGAGAAGAUGAAAAAUCAAAUCUAAAAGAAAAUUUCUCUAUUUAUUAGAUAAUAGAGAAUAUACAAAGAUGAGAAAUUGUGAUGCCACAUCACCUCCUCAAGUCUUAACUUUAUAUAUAUACUAGAAAAUAGAAUCGCGCUUCACGCGGCUUUGAAAAAAGAAUUUAGUAUUAUCUUUUUUUCUUACUUUACACUUGAUGAAACUGAUAAAAAAUAUGAAUUCAUUUUUUUUUUAAGAUGAGGCAGCCUUAUAAAAAACAAAAAAAGUUAUUAGCCAGCAAUACAAAUAAAGAAGCAACGUAAGAUAAAGAAUAAAAUGAGAGAAUAUAUUAUAUAGUGAUUUUAUUCAUUCCAAUUGUGUGUGUACAAAACAAAAAGAUGAGCUCUCAUUUUAUAGUUACAUAAUCACUCCAUGAAAUUAAUGAAAAAUUAUGAAUCAUAAUUCCUUGUGAGAUAGUGGGAGUUAUAGGAAAGCUAAAGGUUGCUAAUGAGAGAUAGUGGAGAGACUAAGAGAUAUAUGUUAUAAACAUCUACAUUUAUUUUAAUAAAUUCAUAACACUCCCCCUGGAUGUUCAUUACAAAAAAUAUGCCUCAUUAAAAUCUUUACAUAAUUGUUAUUGUGUAAUAACAAUCAAAUUAAUUAUGAGAAAAUGAAAAGCCAAAUCUAAAAGAAAAUUUCUCUAUUUAUUAGAUAAUAGAGAAUAUACAAAUAUGAGAAAUGGUGAUGCCACAUCAUCUCCUCAAGUCCUAGCUUUAUAUAUAUAUAUAGAUAGAUAGAUAGAUAGAUAUAUAUAUAUAGAUAUAGAUAUAUAUAGAUUUUAAUAUUUUGUAAUGUAAUUAUUUUUUAAUCUCAACCAAUAUAUUAGAUAAUAGAGAAUAUAAAAAGAUGAUAAAUAAUGAUGCCACAAAUCUAAAAUAUUUAAUGUUUAUGGAGUUUGAAGAAGCCAAAAUGCACUAAACAAAAGAUUAAAUAAUUAAAUAUGAGAUUAUGACAUUAAAAUUAGGCUCUAAUGUCAUUGUUGAGGGAAGAUGAAGGAACCUUCCUUCCUAUAUUAAUUAAUUGAUGUAUUUUAAGCCACUAAAAUUUAAUUGUUGACAUAAUAAAAUAAAUGAAUGUUUCAAGACUUAUAAUUAAUUAUUAUUAAUGGUUACAUAUUGUUGAAUUUAAAUAGAAAGAGGAAAAGACAUGUAAUCAUUUAUAAUCUAAUAAUUAUUUUCUAUUUUAAUAUUUUGUAAUGUAAUUAUUUUUUAAUUUCAACCAAUUUAUUAGAUAAUAGAGAAUAUGAGAUGAUGAGAAAUGGUGAUGCCACAUCACCUCUUAUAGUCCCAACUUUAUAUAUAUAUAUAGAUAUAGAUAUAGAUAGAUGUUUGGAUUUAGAUCGUUGAGUUCCAACUAUUAUUUUUUUUUAACGCAGUUGAGUUCUAACUUGAGUACAUUAUCAUGUGUCAUUUGUUUAUUAAAUGAUAAAAAUAAAUAUUUUAUUAUUUAAUAAAUUAAUAUUAUAUUAAAUAAACUCAAAUCAAACAUUUGGUAUGUAUUUUAAUUUUUUGUCUUUUUUGAAAAAAUUUCUUAAUUUAAUAAAGGAAAGCACUUUAAGUAAAAAAUAAAUAAGAUAAGAAAAAUGGGACAACCUUAUAUGUAGACCGAGUAAUUAUUAUACCUUAAACAUGGACCAAGUAAUAGUAAUUAUUUUUAUUAUUAUUAAUCUUUCCGAUGAAUAGAGAGUCCCAACAACUCUGCUUUUCGUCAAGACAUUCAGACGGAAACAGCGCACAGGCUUGGUGGUUAGCGAAUGGGCGGGCCUACCCGGUACUGGUAAAAUGUUUGAUUUCCUGACAGCCACAUGGGCUGGGCCACGGCUCAUUUGUCAUAUAGUAAAUAUGACCAUGUAAGAUUGUACGGAAGAUUCUAGUGGAAACGUAUUCAGCAGCACGUGAAUCAGACCUUUCUUUUGAAGUUUUCUAAUUUCUACCGUACAAUGUGCCUUGUAUUACUGGGAUUUCAAUGAACGGCGAAAUUGUACUGCGAGGCCGCCUUCAGCACAGGCUAUAACUUUCAAGCCUAAAAUGGGAUGCAUUUUGAACUUCCCCUUAUUCCACCAAAGAAAAGGAUCUCCUGAACCAACCAAUGCUCCAUUUACAGCCUCAAAAGAUUUGAAAUAUCCAAAUUAUUAUAAUGAUAAACACAACUGAAUGCAUCCACUACCAACUCUUGCAGGAAAUAUUUUAUACUUGCUAGCAUUUUUUCAUACCGGCCCUCUAGAGUAGGGUCUUCGACUGUUCUAUUUGUUAUUGUAGUAAUUCUCAGCAGAUAGUAGUUCCUACAAUGGCUUAAUCGCAUACCAAUCAAAUUGACACAGCUAAGUUUUGUUGCAAACAAACAUGAACAACAAUUAGACGCAUGAUCACGCGUCAUGAUACUGCAGUCAAUGGAGCUGUCAUAUUUAUUCCAGAGAGGCAUUUUUCAAGCAAACAGUUCAAGCUGACCAUUUCAACAAGUGCCCAUGGUCAACUCACUGCUUCCUAAAACGAUGGUGACAUAAACCUAUCUUAAAAUCUCAAAUUCAUCUACUAAUGCACUUUCAAAGACCAAAUUACCACUUCAAAUAAUUUCCUACCAGGCCAUACCCAUACAUACUACCAUUAAUCAUAGAUCCAGCUUCUUUUCAGCCAAAUCAAAAAUUUCUUUCAAAUCCUCCUUCACUCUGCCAUUUGCAAAUAUAAACUUGACAGCACUUUUAGCUAGCUGAAACAUUUCCCUCCUUCCAAGACCUGCACAGUGAUCAAAAAAUCAAUCAUUAAGAUGAGGCUUAAUAACUUUCAAUCAAAUAAACUAAUUACAAAAAACUUACUGAAUGCUGAUGCGGCAAGAUCGUACUCCCUAGAAACGCUGGUGGAGAAAACACCUGAGUCAUCAGUACAAAGGACUAAAGGGUGUUGUGCCUUGUACAGAUCAACUGCAAAUAGAACAAUGUGUUAUAGAGAAGACAUCCAAAAAUUAUUCUCUCACAGAUAAAAAAAGGGGGUAAAGUUUAUAGACUACCCCAAAGGCUUGGCCUAAUUACAAAUAAACCCAAUGUUUUGGGGGGAAAAAAAAACAAAAUGCAGAAACCUGUCCCACCUCCGGGAGGUUUCUGAAAAAUUUCAAAACCAGAGGAAUAUGACUGUAUUUUAGUCGAACCUCUGCAGAGGUCGAUAGAACUUACUCAAUUUGGAAAAUUUCAAUCAUUAGUAAGAAGUAGUGGCUUGUUUAACAGAUUAGUCAGCAAAUAAAUAUUUUUAUUAAAGGUAAAAAAAGGGUACAAGCUAUCUACAAAUUGAAACAGAAGAGAAGAAGGUCUAACCAAAAUGGUGAAUAUCCAGUGAAGAAAUUGUUUCAGUUCUGAUGUUGGAUGUCAAACAGAUCUCAACCUGCAAAAUGUAUAUUGACAGAAACCAAAAAAAAAACAAAAGAUAAGAGAGCAAAACAUACCUUUUACCAGUAUGGUCAGCUUAAAGGUUGAUAAGGAACUUUUCCUUAUCAGAACACAACAAAAAAUUUUUUACCAACAAAUAUAAAAGCAUUGAUAUGCUAACAGUCAGAAGUUUGAUAAAUGAUCAAAGGCACAAGGAAGCUGGUAAACUAAUGGACCAAUAAGAUUUCCACCUUCUCUCGUCCUAAGGAAAUUGCAAGAAUAUAUUCUUUAUCAUUCAAAUUUCAAUUACAAGAAAACAAUUGUAAAUGAAAAGAGAUUUUCAUGAAAUUCUAACCGGGAUUUUAGAUGAUUUCAACUUUCUCCAUUCUUCCUCUUCAAAGCAACAAGCAUGCCCAAUUCUCUGGGGAAGAAAGUCUAGCAUACUUUGGAUCUCCUCCUUAUUAGGUAUCUACAAACACUAAGUUAUGAAAAUAAACUGGUCAGGAUAAAUCCACUAAUAGCAGAAACACAUAAAUCGUAACAGCAGUAAGCAUUCAAAAGACAUAUGCACCUCCCCACAGUGAAGAGUUAUUUGAAGACCUUGUUCCCUAGCAAAUUUUAAUGCUGGCAGGAAAGUAGUCCUGUCUCAGAUACAAAGAAAAUUUGUAAUAUUUUAAAGAUAGUUACAAUGGACUAGUAACACUUAUGCGCUAAAAAGAAUGAUCAGUAACAAAGGAGUACCAUUCACCCUUGGUAGGGUUUCCAGAGAGGUCAAUGCCAACUACCCCAAGGUCCCUCAUUUCCAGAGCCAGCUUAACCUGUAAAAUGAUUGAGGUAAGAUAAAUUAGUCACCUAUAUACAUGAGAUGAUUCACAAGCUUAAAACAUCAUUUGCAGACUACAUUUUCCUAACAUACAGUUUCCAUGGCAGCUUCAGUUGUCUCCCGACGGUCAAUGCUGAGAAGAAGUCUAACAUAUAUCUUUUUUCCUCUAGUACCAUUACAUGCAUCAUUCAUAUUCUUAGUAUUCACAGGACGUCUAACAUCUGUGCUACGAGAAGCAAAAUCAACAUCAACUGCACUGACAGCCCUUAAACCCUCCACGACUGCAUCCAUGUAAGAUCGUUUGCUCAUUCCAAUAGACUCAUUUCUCUGUAUAAAUUGGAAGCCAACAAAUUCCUUAAAACUCCAUUAUAUACUAAAAAGGUUCCAGAAAUAAAACGGCUACCGGGAAGUCAACACACAAGUAAAUACCUUUGGAGUAGUUCUUAGUUCUAGAUAUACAAUAUUCUCGGAAGCAAAAUCUUCAACCACCUGUUUUGUAAAUGUUUUAAAGAAAAAAAAAAUAGGGGCUUGUCAAAUGGAAGUAGAUGUAGCCAACCCCAAAAAAAAAAAAAAAAAAAAAUUCAUAAAUCAAAGAGAAAUUUGCCAUACUUCUUGAGUAAUUCUUGUCACGGUUGCGUGGUCAGUAGUGAGAACGUGGAUCAGGUCAAAUAACUUGAACACUUCAUGUAGAGAACGGUCACCUGAGUUUAAAAAGAACCCAAAAAAAAAAAAAUCCAAUGCCACAAUUAAGAGUAACCCAAUUAUGCAAUAAUAAUGAGAAAUUGAAGAAAUUCAUUUUUUUCCCCUUUUCUGAGGAAAUCAAACUACAGCAAAGGGCACAUACUUUUCAUAAUAACAUGCUCCACAUCUGAGAAGACAAUGACACCCUUUUCACCCAAAACUCUUGCAAGCUCCCUGCACAACAUAAUUACAAGUGAUGCUCACCAUCAAAACUCAAAAUUAGCAUUGAAAUGAAAGAGUCCGACAGAGAGAAAAGAGUAAGAUCUUACAGAAGAGUAGAGUCUCUAAUGGAGCCAUUCAGGUGGGCAUGUAAUUCAACCUUUGGCAUCGACGCAAACCACUCCAUUUUCGUUUGUGGAAUUUUUUUUUUUUUUCCUUUUUCCCAACACGUUUGUUUAUGGAUCUUAUUUCAGUUCUUGAUUUUGUUGUUUGCUUUUCUUACUCGAAGCUCGAGAUUAAAAUAAUUUUUUGUUUUGUCUCUGAAGGGUGGUUGGCACUUGGUGUUUGACACUCCUUUCUCUGACCAAAUGGUCAAAGGAUAAAGCUAUGGAUUAUGGGCCAGAAACAGAAGCUGUUAGUCUGUUUUAGAAUCCAAAGCCCAUAUCAUGACGAUUUUCUCUUCCUUCAUUAUCCCAGCAGUUUUCUAUAACUUAGCCACACGGCCCACACCCAAUUACAAAAACGAUCAACUAACUAAAAAUAAGUCAAAAUCUAUUUUUUCUAUUAUUUUUAUAUAGAAUAAUUUAUACCGCAUCCAUAUUUUUCAAUAAAUCUCAAUAUGCACUCUAACAUUUCCCGCAAAUUCCUAAUUUAUAUUUUCUAUUUUUAAUUUAUACUUUUUGAAAAUAAAUUAAUAAUUUUACUUUUUCUUAAAAUUGAAAAAACAUAUUUUUCCACCUUUUUAUUUUUAUUUUUGUCCUUCAUCUUUUUUACCCUUCUUGACGCUUCGCCUUCUCCAAGAUUUCAUGGAGCCAUACCAGCUGUGAAAAAAACUCACAGUAAUAAUCUUGAGCCAUAAGAUGAUGCAGUUGCACAAAUACAUCUAAGGUAGAGCCAUAUUCAAACUAGAGGAUGCCACAGCACCUGCACCCUGCGGUCUUUUGUAGGAUCAAUAAAUUACAAAAUAAAAUAUAAUAAUAUCAUGAGUUUUAGGUAUAAAAUCUUCAUUUUGACACCUACAAGAUUGCACAUUCUCUUACAAUUUUUAAACUUUAGAGAAAAAAAUAUCAUUUAAUUUAUAUGAUCUCAUAAAUAUUCAUUAUGAUUGCAGUACUGUUACAAUUAUUAAUUUUUUAAACAAAUUAUUUUCUUUGUCCUUUGUUAGAAACAAGUGACCCAACCUUUUUGUUGAUGUUUUUAUAAAUUUUGUUUUAUUCAUAUUUGUAUUUGUUUUAAUUUAGCCCAUGUAAAAUAGAACUCAGAGGUCUGCCCCUAGAAAGGGCGGUUUUUUUUUUUUGGGCAUUGGUCAAAAUAAUUUGUAUAAUUGUCAUCAUUAUUCUUUGUCAAAUUUAUUUCAUUUAAACAAACAUUAACUUCUUUCUAAAUUCAUAGUAAACCCUAAAACCAAACUAAUCAUUGAAAUCAUCAACACCCAUAUUUGCUUGGUACAGUUGCGCACGACCAUGGGUUUGCUUGGUAUCGCCGCUUGUGGCCAUGGGUUUUGCUAGGCAUAGUUCUAAUAAUAUGUAUUAUUAAUUUUAGUGGGUUUUACUUAUCAGGAUUUUGAUUUAUGACUUAGAUUGGAGAAUUGUGGUGAAUUCUAGGUAUUUCUCUAAAAAGGAAAUUAAGAUUUUGAUUUUUGGACUUUGAUUUGUAGAAAUUAUGUUUCAUUUUUAAAUGGUGGAUUUAAUGUGGAGUUGUAGAAAUUGGAUUUAAAAGUAGUUGUCGAGUUGUCAAGGGUGUGAAAGAGGAAAGAUUAAAAAAAAAAAAAAAAGGAAACCAAGAAGAAGAUGAAUAGGGAACAGAAGGAAGAAAACGAAGAAGAAAGAAAAAGAGAAGAGGAAAAAAUGUCUCUUUUUUUUUAUAAUUUUUUAUAUUUUGAUUAUAGUAAUGUUGUUUGAUUUUUGUUAUUUUUAAUUUUAAUUAAUUUUAUUAUAUUUUUCUCGUUAGUUUAAUUUAAAUAAAUUUUAUUUACUAUUUUUAUUUGUUGGUUUAAUUUUGUCGGACAAUCUGAAAUUAUUGAAAAACAUUUAUCAAAUGACAAUUGGUUGAAAGAAUGUGCAACGCAAAUUUGUAAAUUUUGUUAAUUUCAUUAAUGAAAUUUGAGUUUUUAAAAAAAAGUUGCAUAAUUUUAUUAAAAAACUCAAGGACUUUGACGAAAUCUAAGAAUUUCACCAAAAGACUUUUUAAAUAAUAUUUUAUUACUUAUUUACAAAGCCACAUUAGCAUUUAAGUCUCUCAAAAACACCCCAAUUAAAAAUUUUCAAAUAAGAAAUGAUAAUCUUUUUUCAAAUUUGGAGAGUUGCUUUCUCCAUUUUUAAUUUAUAUUUUGUUACUUUUUGUUGGAGAAAGAGAGGUGUUUUAAUUACUAUUGAUUUUCCCUUUAAAAAAAUAGUUAUUUAAUUAAAAUAAUAUUAAUUCAUUUAUAUUUGCAGAGCCUUUUGGAGAAUAACAUAUUUUUUCACUCUUUUAUUUGCCACAUAGGUAAGCAAAUAGAUAUUUGAAGAGUUAAAUUUAUAGAGCAUCUCCAAAAGGCUCUUCAAAUAAUAUUUUAUUAUUUAUUUGAAGAGUCACAUCAGUAUUUAAGGCCCCAAAAGACAAUCCAAUUAAGAUUAUUCAAAUAAAAAAUGAUUCUCUCUCUUCAAAUUUGGAGAGUUGUUUUCUCCCUCUUUAAUUUAUAUUUUAUUAAUUUUUGUUGGAGAAAGAGAGAGAGAUAUGCUUUAAUUGCUAUUGACUUUUCCUUUAAAAAAUAGUUAUUUAAUUAAAAUAUUAUUAAUUUAUUUCUAUUUGUGUUUUAUUAACUAUACUCGAUUAUCUUCAUAAAUACAUGCACAUCUCACUAUAUCUUUGUUGUAUCUUCUUGUAUUUUAUUGAUCAUUUUAAACUUGUAAAUCAUUACUCAUAAUUAAAUAUCAAUUGUUCAUCUCCUAAUAAAUGACUUUAGUAGACUAAAAUUAUAUAUGCACAAAAACAGUUGGGGAACUUGAUAAAUACAUGACUAUAAUGGAGUACGUGAACAUAGAACAAAAACUACAAAAAAUACUCAUUAGAAUGAACAUAAGAUGUAACAUAUCAAACAUCAAUUCAUCAAACAAAAACUUUUAUACGUCAAACAACAUAGAUUUAAUACAUGUCUAAAUCAUAAAUAAGUUUUAAAAGAACACAAGUUAUUGUUCAAUCAUCAAAGCUAUUAAUUUACUCCAAACACUCAACCCAUUUAUUAUAAACCCCGGUCACCUCUCUUUGAAAACAACAUAAGGUAGACAAAUAUGUUGUUCCACCUAUGAAAUAAGACGGUAUAAAUUUAUCAGCUAACUACUACAAAAGGACAAGUAUGUAAUAUUAAGUAUAUUAACCAGGACAAGUAUGUAAUUUUGAGUAUAUUAUGCGUGCUUUUGUUUCAUUCAAUCCAACUACAAGUUCAUUGUCAGACAGUAAAAUUAGUGUGCUACUAGUUAGUUGAUUAUAUCCUUAAAAACUGCACAUAACACACUUACGACGUAACUUCUCUUCAUCUUGUGAUGUUAUCCCAAAUUUUUAUAGCUGACUUUUAUUCACCCAACUCAUUGUCAGACAAUGCAACAUUAUUCACACUUGCACGACUGCAAUCGUGUAAAUCCAUAAAUACACAAUAACAGUCGUGUAACUUGUAAAAAAUUCACCACCACAAAUCAGUAAAUAUUCAAAGGACAUAUUUCUUCUCCGAAAUUAUAUUUUUUGCACUAAUAGAAUAUUAGGGUCUCAUAACAACUGGAAUAUAUUACACACUUGCACGACUGUAAUCAUGUAAGUUUAAAUAUACACCACAACAGUUGUGUAACUUACUAAAAUACACUAUUAUAAUCCAAUAAACAGUCAGAGAACAUAUUUAGUGAAAAAAUAUAUUUUUUAACACUAAUAAAAUGUUAGGGUGCCAUAACAGCUAUAAUAUUUUUCUCAUUCACACAACUGUAGUCAUGUAAAUUCAUAAAUGCAUGAUAAUAGUCGUGUAACUUGUAAAAAUUUACGACUACAAUCCAGUAAAUAGUCAGAAGACAUAUUUUUUCUCUAAAAUUAUAUUUUUUGCGCUAAUGUUAGGGUCUCAUAACAACUGGAACAUUUUACACAUUUGCAUGACUGUAAUCGUGUAAGUUCAGACAUACACAAUAACAGUCGUGCAACUUACUAAAAUACAAGACUCUAGUCCAGUAAACAGUGAGGUGACAUAUUUAGUGAAAAAAAAUAUUUUUUACACUAAUAAAAUGCUAAAGUGUUAUAACAGCUAGAACAUUUUUCAGAUUUGCACAACUAUAGUCGUGUAAAUUCAUACAUACACAACAAAACAUAUAUGACAAAGGUCUUGUAACUUGUAAAAAUACGCGACUACGGUCCAAUAAAUAGUCAAAUGACAUAUUUCUUCUCUAAAAAAUAUAUUUUUUGCGCUACUAGAACACUAAGGUCUUAUAAUGGUUGGAACAUUUUAAACACUUGCACGACUACAAUCGUGUAAUUUCAUACAUAUACGACAUCAAUUGUGUAACAUACUAAAAUACACGAUUACGGUCUAGUAAUAGUCAAAGGACAUAUUUAGUGAAGAAUAUAUUUUUUUGCACUAAUAAAAAUGUUAGGAUAUCAUUACAGUUGGAAUAUUUUGCACACUUGCACGACUGUAAUCAUGUAAAUUCAUACAUACACGGCUGCAAUCAUGUAAAAUAGAUGCAGAACAAAAUUUUGAGAACAAAGUAAGAUUUUAACAAAUGUAGUUAGAAAAUCCAUCAUAUAGUAGUGAUAUGAUGCAAAUGUAAUAAAAGUGUGAGUUGUUUGAUUGUUUAUCACAAACCAAUCAAACCUUAAAAACAAUAGAAUGUCAAGAAAAUGCAUAGAUGACAUAAAAUAAAUGUAAAGUUUAAAGUACCUUAUUGAUUUGAUGAAUAAUGCAUGUAGUUGCAAACAAAAAUCUCAAUAUGUUGGUGGUUUAAGAGUGAUUUUUUUUUUUUUUUUGGUUUUAUGGAGUGAAAUGAUGUGCAAAUAAAAAAGUGUGUUUAAAGGUGAUUUGUUUUAAGGACAAUUUAGAUAAAACACCACAUAAAAUGACAUAUCCAUAUAAUUAUCAAGUAUAGGGUAUAUUUAAUUAAAUACCUAAUUUUUGGGGUAUGUUUAAUUAAAAACCCCUUACUUUUGGGCAUAUUCUUAUUGUACAUAUGUCUACCAGUAAUGACAAAUUAAUGAGGAGUUUUAGUUGAUGGUUGGGAAUUUGCUAAUAAGGACCAUCGACGAUGAAGGAUUAGUGGUAGGUGACUUGAGACAGUGACAAUGUAGGUAGAAGGUGGAUAGAAUUUAUAAAAUUAACUUUAUUUUUUAACUAUAUUUUUUUAUUUUUAAUAAAGUAAUCUUAAAAAUAUAGAAAAAUAUGGGCUAAUGAGAAAAUUUGUGGCAUCAAAAUUAUCAGCACUCUUAACACAACACGGAACUGGUUCAAUAUAAACUUUUCAUCGUGCCUAAUUUUCCUUGACUAAACAACCAUGGAGACUUUUGGAUAAAAUCAUGAAAAAAAUUUAGAAUCAAAUUUUGUUACAGAAGAUCCAAAUUAUGUACAAUUUUGAAAAUUAUUUUUGAAUUAAUCACGAGUCAAGUGCUUUAUCAAACUAUCACAUGCACAUAUCUCCAUGUAUAUUUAACCAAAUUAUACCCAUUAACCAAAAGCCCAAAUUUGGUGAGUGUAGCACUCACGUGGAAUUAGCUUAUAGGUCACAAGAUCAUUCAUGAAACUUCCGUGAUCGUUUCAACUUUCAAGGAUCAAAUUCAUGCAUACGUGACACCACUAUAUUAUAUGCCUCUGGAUCAUGGUCCAUCAUAUUGCAUAUGACAUGUACAUAAACAAUAACCAUUAAUAUUAUUCAUUUUGGCCAUGCCAUAUUAAUUAUCUUGCAUUUACUGGUUCAUCUACUCUCCAAUUUAGCAUUGAAUGCACCUAGGCCGCAACAAUAGCACAGUGAUUCUUCAUUCUAGUAUACUUUUUUUAUUUUUCUUCUUCAAAUAUUUAUUUACUUACUCAUAUGAUAUAUAAGAGUGUGAAAAAAAUAAAUUAUUUUUUAAAAUAUUCUUCAAAUGAAAAUAAAUUUAUAUUUUUUCUUCUAACAAAAUAAUAACAAUUAUAACACUUCUCUUUUUUAAAAAAUAUGAGAUAACAAAUAAUAUAAUAUUAAAUUAAAUGAUUCAAAUAAGAUUCUUCAACUGAGAGUCUGAGACAAGGACAAUAUCAUUUAAAGAUUUCUUAAAACUCUUUCUACUUAUAUAACUCUUUAAAUGAGAAUUAAAAAUCUCAUGGGAAAGGCAUUUUGGUUAUGUUGUAAGAGACCAAACCUGUGUAAUAAAUUUUCUUAAAAUGUGAAGUCUUACUAUAUAUAUAUAUAUAUAAAUUACACAUAUGUGUGCGUGUGUGUAUAUUGGCGUUUGUGUCUUCUUUAUCCGUUCUAAUUACUUAGAAUCCUACAAUUUAUGAAAUUUCAUAUCAAUGGAAAAUAAAGAUAAAAAACGAAGAAUGAAAGUUAUCGAUGGAGUUCUUCUAAUAUUCUCCUAAUUAUAACUCCGAUAUAAUCUAACAUAUAAUUAAAUUCUUAAAAUUAUUAUUGAAAUGAAAUAUUUUUUUUUCUGAAAAGGACAUUUAUAUAUGUGCCUCGGCAUAAAAUAUAUAAAUAAUAAAUGUGCACAUGUUUCUGAACCUCUCUCUUCCAAGCUUCAUUGUACAAUGUCUCACCCAUGUUUUCGGUUUGGGCACAAAAAGAUGAUAGGUCUAGUUAAUUUUAAGCAACAAGGUCCCAGCGCCAGUUUGGAUUCUGGAUAAUGCGUGCAUGCAUGGCUGCAAGCUUGUGUUGUAUAUUGCUACUGUAUAACUUGCAUCGAGACCAAUUCUUGCUAGUUCUAGAAAUAUCGAAGAUAUGCAGCUAUAAUGUAUUUUCAAUUUGAAGACUUUUAUCAUCUUAAUUAAAAGUUGAGAUUUAUUUUUUAUUAAAUACAAAAAAUCAUAUCAAUAAUGAUCUUAUAUAUCAUGACUUCAAUAAUUUAAAAAGAGGAGGAGGAUUCGAAGAAAUUCAAAUUUGAAGGAGAUAAUAAAAGUGUAAAAGAAUAGUACGAAAUUUCUAACUAAGAGAUUAACAUUUUGGUCCCUCUUAUAAUUUAUGUUUAUCACUUAGGUCUUUAUUAAUUUUUUUGGCACAUAUUUUGUUUCAUCCCAAUGUAUUGUUAAAGGGCAAUGCAAAUUUUAAUUGGUAGAGUUUUCAAUUCUUAGAUAAUCAAUUUGCAUAUGAAAUAGUCAUAUUUACCCUUUUUUUGCGUAUAAUUUUAACACAGGCAAUUAAAUUAAUUAUUAAUAAUUUAUUAGCGACCCAAAUGAUAAAAAUAAAUUCUUAAAAUGAGAAAUCUUAUAAAUGAGAAAGAUCAAAUUAAAUAAAAAAUAAAAAAGAACGACCGAGAUUAAUCUCCCCUGGCAAAAAUAAUCAAUAAAUAGAAGCAUUGAGUUAAAUAAAUGGAUCCGGUUAUAAAUUCUCAAGAAGAAAUUAACAAAUUCUCUUUCAUGAAUGGAGAGAGAGAGAGAGAGAGAGAUACUCUCCGAACUCAAGAUUAUUACAUUUUUUCCUUGAUUUUCUUGUAUUUUUCGAGGAACUAAAUGCUGACUUGAGCGUUGGAAUACCUUUAGUAGGUACCGAAUUGUUGCUUGAAGCUUGGAAGCUUGAAGAUGAAGAAAUCGUCAUUUCUAGGUAUUGAAGAAAAUUUGCUCCUUCAGUAACUCGAGAGCAUCCAGAGGUGUGUAGAUCUAUAUCUAAACUCUAAAGCUAGCUAUGCAUCAGGAAAAUAAUAACAAUAGUAAUGCAGUUCUUUUUUUUUUUCAUAAAUCUUGUUACUAAUUAUAUAAAUGUAGCUCAUCUUCCUGGUUAACAUAAAUUGAGUAUGUUGUGUCAUAUUCAUACCACAACUUAUGGUUCGUCCAAAUUAAUGAGAUAAAAUUAAUUAGAUGAGCACUGCCAAUUAAUAGCAUAAUACCGACUUAAUUUCUUUAUUUCUUUUAAGUUAAUGUGAGAUAUUCAUAUCUUGUUAUGAUCACACAAGUGUUUAAGGUAUUGAAUUUGAAUAAUAAUAGAGUUAUAAAGUUUGAACAAAUAAGUAUGUAUAAAUCAAAGUAAAAUGGAAGUGUUGGUUGUAUAAAAAUAGAGUAAAUAGUUUAGUCUCUAUAUUUUAACCUAAUGAUAUAGUAAUUAAGUUUUAAUAGAUAUAAGGAGAGGCGAGGAAAGGAGGAGAGGGAAAAAAAAUAAAGGGAGAAAGAUGAAAUCCAUGUAAAAUAAAAAUGAAAUUGAAAUUGACUCUCUUUUUCACUCUUUUUCUCUCAUUUUCUUUCUUUUUCAUUCCUCUUCUCUCCUACUAGGGCUAGGUAUCAGAUCGGAUUAGGAUUGAUCUAAUCUGAUCCGAUGCGAACCGAUCUUGUUCGUAUCAUAUUCAGAUUUAAUUCGGUUGGAUAAGAAUUUGGCAAUCAUAUUGGAUUUAAUUCAAAUCAGAUCAAAUCCGGAUCAAUUCGAUCGAAUUGCACAUGCAAUUGAAAAAAUGUAUACCUAAAAUAUAAAUAAAAAAGAAAAAGAAAAAGCAUAAAUCAUCAAAUCCCUAAAAUCCCAAAUCAGAAAACAAAGAAUUGAAGCACUUGCAACCGCACGAACCUAGCCAAAGAAUCGAAUAACCACUUGCAGCCGCACGAACCCAGCCAAUCUCUUUGAGAGAAAGCCAACUAGUUGUCAAGACUCAAGUCAUCGAUGUGCUAGCUUCACGCCGAUAACGUCCCAACCAACAACCGCUGAGCCCGUGAACCGCACGCUACCACGCUACUAGCUAAAGCCGCAAGCAAAAGUUGAAGUCCCAAAACUAGCUGCAACAUUUAUUUGUUAUUGCAAGGGUUUCCAAUGGAGUAGGAUCCAUCAAAGCUCGUAAAGAAGAUAUACUUUGAAAAACUCGCAGAGGUUUGGGUCUUUUAGAUUGCUUGUGAAUUUGUUUUCAAUUUUGCUGCAUUUCAUUCUCGUUACUAUUUGCCUUUUUGGUGAUUGCAAAGUUGAUUGUUUGAUUUAGCUUUUCCUCCUUUUGGAAUGCAAUUGUUGCUGAAGAUCUGAUGUUAAAACGAACAGUUUCAUUUUCUGUCUUUCUUUUUUCCAUUUGCUGGCUUGCUGAAUUUCAAUUUUGUAUUGCAACUUGAAAGUGAUUUGGAUUCAUCUGAUUUAUUUGAACACAUCAAAAUUCUAUUUCAAUAUGAUAUUACCGAUCCAAAUAUGAAUUAAUCUAAACUAUUCAUCCGAUCCGAAUAUGUUUGGAUCGGAUUUUAGUUCGGAUGACUUUUUUACCAAUCCGAACAAUUUGAAAUUCAUUUGGAUUAAUCUAAAUUUGUCCAACCCUCUCUCCUACAAUUUCUUCCAACCGUUAAGUGUUUGUUUAAUCCAUGUAUUUUCAAAAAUGCUUUAAGAAACACCUAGUGUUGGAUAUAUUACACUCAUUGCCUUACUUUUCUUUUCACUUUUACCAUAAGAUCCUUAUAAUAAUAUUCUUGGGGAUAUUAAUUACUUUAUCCAUAAAAAAAAGUUAAUUAACAAAUUAACCUUAAAAGUAAAGUAAAAAAUAAAUAUAAUUUCUUUUAUUAUUUUACUUUUAGGAUUAAUUUAGUAAAUUAAUUUUUUAUAAAUAAUUAUUUGCAAGAUUAUAAUUGCAAUGUAUUAAAGAUUGGUAGUAUUUAUUUCUUUUAAAUAAUUAGAAGACUGUUGUAAGGGUAUGAAAAAUACCAAUUCAUUCACACUAAAAUUAUUGGUUAAUUUACUAAUAACUAAUUAUAAGUCAAUUUGUUAAUUAAUUUUACCAUAGAUUAAUCAACCAAUGUCUCCAAAAUUGAAGUAAGGAUAUUAUUGUAAAAGAUAAAAAAAAAGGGCAAGAGUUUUAUAUAUUUUAUAGUAAGAGUAUCUUGAGACAUUUUUUAAAAAUUUAAAGACUAAACAAAUAUUUAAAAUAUAAAGACUAUUGGAGUAUUUACUUUAUAAAACCAUCAUGGAACCUAAAUAAUUAUUUUAAUGAACUAUUAUUACUUUCGAGCCAAUCUGUAUUCUAUACUACAAUAAGAAGUUUACUGGUAAUUAGAAUCAUACUUUACAUAAAGUAUAAUAUGGCACCAUCUAUAUUUAUAUCUUCACACAUAUUAAAGAGAUAACAAGUCAACUCACAUUAAUGAGAGAGUUGACUCAGCUCACAUUAAUAGGAGAGUUGUCUUCCUUACUUUGGAGAGGGCAUAUGUUCACCACUCAACGACCAAGCGACUAUGACUAAUGUGAUUUAUUUUUAUAAAAUUUCAUUCAACCAAUACUCUGUGUGAUACAAAGAUUAUGAUCCUCUCUUGAUCUGAUCAUUAUCUGAGUAAGUAUUAUUAAUAUGAUUGGUGAUUAAUAAAUGAAAAUGAAAAAAAAUAGUUAAAUCUUAAUUAUUCACUAAUACUAAAACACAUGUGGCAUAAGAUCUGUAAAAGAUCAGGAGUGCUCAAAUCAGGAGAAGAUCUCAAUCCAUGAUACAAUUUUGUCACAUCUUACGGGGACCCAAAAAAAAAAAAGUUGUGUGAUUCUAGCACUGUAAAUUAAUAUACAAGAUAUGUUGAAACAUCAACUAGAAGAAUAAAAUAAUUCGUGCUAAUACUGAAUUCAUUAAGAGAUAUAUUGGAGGAACUAUUCGCAGGUGUUAGCAAAAAAGGAAUGGAAUGAGCAUUGUAGAUUUUUUUUUCCAGGGCAAUAUUUUAUUAGUUGCCUUUUUGUGUAAUUCAAACGUAUUAGGUAUUAAUUGGUGUGAUUAUUGAGCAGCAAAAAUAUUAUCAAUUUUGACGUUCAUGUGAUAAAAAAUACACCCUUAACGGCCAAGAAAUACAGAAAAUUCUAUUAAUUGUGAGAAAUUUAGGUUUUCCCCCUUUUUUUUGGGGGGGGGGGGGGGGGGGCUGUUAGAAAGCUAAUUGAAGAAUAUGGCCCACGUAAUAUUUAAUUUCUAAACCACCGAAGCGGCUAGCGUUUAAAACCAAUUGGUAUGGCAGUAAUGGCCGAUCAGAAUCAGCUGGCAAGCGCGAGCAUCAAAGCUAGGACUGCACACUGCACUGCAAUAGUGGACGAAUCAGAAGAGGGCCAGUGGCAUUUGUUUAUUCAAAGAACAAAUAAUUCCCCGUACAAGUUGGGACGAUGAUCCCGUCGGUAGCCAAUAAAUUUUUCUCAGUUAUUAUCGUUAUAUUAUUUUAAUUUUUUUAUUUUACUAUUAUAUAAGGACGGAUAUCUAUCAUUUUACUAUAUUUUUGUUACUUACUAUUAAUUGACUAAUUAGUUUAUUAAUAAAAUAUUAAAUUUUUAAUGAAAAUUUUUGUCAAAAAAAUAACAUCCAAAGCAAUACAAUAUUAUAAAUUUAAAGUAUAAACUAGCUAAAAAUAAUUCAUGCAAACUUAUAAAUUUAAGUUUAAUAUCUUUAUUUGUGUAGUUUUCUUUCAAGUAUAUAAUUGGUAUUUUAUUUAUUAACUUAUUAGUCAACUAACAAUAACAAGGGAAAUUUAGUAAAAUGAUAGGUUUUGUGAAGAUAUAAUAAUAAAAAAAUAGAUUACAAUACUUCUUGUAUUAAUUUAAUAAAUUGUACCAACAAAGUGUUGGCUCCACUGGCAAUGGAGUCCCCUUAAGUGGCUUGACUGGGUUUGCUCCCCAGUUCGAGUCGCAGGGAAGUCGCCUUUGUUGGGAGAACCUGUGCCUCCCGGUUCGAGCGGGGACUUCUAGUCUGGGUUGUGGUAUGGGCUUAAAGGUGCCUCCCACAGUUGGGGCCCUCCCCAGGAUACCUCGUGAUUAAUAUCAAAAAAAAAAAAAUAAAUUGUGAUUCUUAAGGUUGAGAUAAUAAUCUUUUUUUUUACUGCUUUUAUAUGUAUUGUUGAUGGCUAAGUAUAUAUAGUUGAUCUAUUUGCUGCCAUUUGGGUAUUGAUGGUUUUAGUUUAUUGAACUAAUUGACGCAACUGAUAUUAAAUUGAUACGUAAAUAUACACCUAGUUAUAGUCUUUAGAGCUGGCAAAACGGGUCAUCGGGUCGUGUUCGUGUCGUGUCAGCUUCGUGUCGUGUCAAAUUUAGGUCGACCCAAACCCGACCCAUUUAAUAAUCGUGUCAAAAUAUUGAGACCCAAACCCGACACGGAAAAAUAAUCGGGUUACCCAAUAACCCGUUUAAUAUCUAUAUAUUGAACAAAAGUUACAUAAAAUAUUUACACACUAUCAUACAUACGUAUGUACAUAAAUACAUACAUACAUAAUUUAUCGAUAUUAUAAAAUAUAUAUAUCUACCAAUAUAUUACACAUUUACACUAUUGAGGUUUUAAUUAUAUAUAUAUAUAUAUAUAUAUAUAUAUAUAUAUAUAUAAUAUUAUAUAUCAAUAUUAUAAAAUAUACAUGUCUAUCAAUUUUUACACAUUUACACUAUUGAAGCUCUAAAUGUAUGUAAAAUUUUAUAAAUAAAACACUGUGUUUAUAUUCACCAUUUUAAAGAAAAAAAAAAUAUCUCUAAUAUUUGAGUUUUAAUUAUAAGAAUAUGUAAAUUAUUUUAAAAUAGAAAAUAUAAUCGGGUCAUUGAUCGGGUAAAUGGGUCAAGAAUUUUAACCCAAACCCGACACGGAAAAAAAUCGUGUUGACCCGGACCCGACCCAUUUAAUAAUCGUGUUAAAUUUGACGACCCAUACCCAUUUAUUUAUGUCGUGUUCGUGUCAGGUAAUCAAGUCGUGUCAAAUUUUGCCAGCUCUAAUAGUCUUGACACAAACUGAUAACUAUGUAGUUUUAUUAAAUCCAAUUGUACAUAUUUAAAGUCAAUAAAUAAUAUUAAAUAUUAUUAAAUCAUCCACCUUUUUGGUGCUCUUAUAAUAUUACUCCUUAUUCAUUAAACGCUUGCAACGUGGAUAUGCACGUUAUCGCGAUUGAUUAAAACAUACAUGUGAUAAAAAAAAAUGAAUAAAACAGGAGCAUUACUAUAAGAGCACCCAAGACUUUCUAGAUAAUGAAAUCAAUAAUCAUAAAUUUGUAUUAUAAGUAGAUAAAUAAGAGAACACCAAUAUCUAGUCACCUAAACAUGUGACUGAAUCUUGUGGCUCCUUAUAAAUAGAAUUGAAGGUGUAAGUUAACCAAAUAAUUGAGUGAUGUGUUGCUCACAAUAAGGUAAACACCACUGCCCGGUAUUCACACGACAACUUAUUAAGUUUAAAAAGAAAUGUGCUCAAACUCAUUUACUAAUAAGUGAAAUAAUUGUUUCAAACUGCAGAUUAAUUUAGUCCGAUACACCUUUCAAAUUAGCACGGUCACAAUAUAGAAUAAAGCCUCACAAAAACAGAAACUCGAAAAUCCAAUGUAGUACUAUAGAGUGUAUCAAAUGAAUCCACGCAUGCAUAUCUUGCUUCACUAAAAUAAGGUACAACAACUGCCAAGCUAAAUAUGAGAUAUGCUUAAUUAGUUUUUUUUUUCCCCUUUUCUAAUUGAUGGGAUUUUUCACAAGAAGACUUCACCAUUUCAUCUUGGCAAAAUGACAGCCUUAAGGGAAUUCUUCAUCACCACAGUGAAAGCAUAAGUCUCAGUCGGGUCGGGUGGAGCACCCGGAACCGGCAACCACUUGUAGGCAUGCACCAUUCUAGCAAUUAGCAAAUUGAUGUGCAAUAUACCAAGACUCCAAGCCGGGCAGAUUCUCCUCCCUGCUCCAAAUGGCACCAUCUUUACUCCCCGUGUUCCGGUCACAUCAACAUCAACCCCAUCACCCUCCAAGAAUCUCUCGGGUCGGAACUCGCCCGGAUCUGACCACAUAUCGGGAUCCUCAGUCAACCACGCAGUGUAGAAUUCCACGUGAACACCUGCCGGGAUGGAGUACCCGCCAAGCUCAGUAUCCUUUAUGGCAGCGUGAGACAGCAGAAAAUGGCCAGGAGGGUGCCGCCGGAGAGUUUCCUUCACGACAGCAUCGAGAUAAGGCAUUUUCUCGACAUCUUCUUCUUUAACAAGCCCAUCUUUCCCCACAGCAGCUACAAUUUCUUUAUACAACUUUUCUUGAAUCUCCUGGUUUAGCACCAAGUGAUGCAUUGCCCAUUCGGCCGUUGUUGCGCUAGUGUCAGUGCCUGCACUGAUCACUUCAGAACACAAUGUCACAAUCUCUUGUUCCCCCAGUUGCUCUCUCCCCGUUGGCUCCAGCCCAAACAAUGAAUCCACAUAAGCUGCACCGAUUGGACUCACCAUCUCUGACUCUGAGUUAGGGUUUUGGCCUUUCUCUACAAAAGCUUUUCUGUUCCUUAUCAGUGGAACCAAGCACUCCAUUUGUCUCUUCCUCAACUCCUUUGCUUCUCUCAUUUGCCGGCGAAAUAAUGGAGUGAGAAUCGGCAAGAAAUCCGGAAGCUGUGGUGAUGUUAUCAGCAUUACAUCUUUUAGUAUGCUUUCGAUGUGCUUGAUCCGCUCCUCUGAGAUCUUUGCACCAAAGCACAAGCAGAUCAAAAUGCUGCAUAUUGUGAGCCUGCAGCUACUCAUCACCUCAACGAACAAAUCAUUAUCAAAAGCCUCACUAUUUAGCCUUUUCAUGUGGCUUUCCAUUGCCCAUGUUCUUAUCCAGCUGCAUUGCUUCACUCUUGUAGGGGUUAUCAACUCAGUUACAAAGUUCCUCCUCAGGCUUCUCCAAAGAGGCCCGUAUUCAGCCGAGUUGAUGGCGCAUUUCCCGACGCUGAACACGAGCCUGAUCGGAGAAUCUGGCGGCCGGGAGGCGAAUUCAGGGCCUCUUUGGACAAGGGCUUCGUGGAUGAGCUGAGAGCUAGUGACAAUAACCACAGUACGUUGACCCAUCUGCAUGGUGAAUAUUGGGCCAUACUUUUUACGCAAAUCACGGACUAUAAAGAUGAAAUGGCGGCGUUGGAGGAUGACUUGCACCAGGUUUCCGACAAGCGGCCAUCCCCGUGGCCCUGGCGGCAGGUUCUUUGGCCCGCCGCCAGUUGUGGACGAGUAUCGCCACCAUAAACAGAGAAAGAUAAAGCCUGAAAUGAGGAUAACAAGGUCAAUCAAAUCCAUCAACAAUUUCUUGAGAAGAGAUUAUGAAUUAAGCUGACUGAAAGUGAAAAUUGGUGCACGAGAUGUGGUAAGCUUAUAGACUGGUUUUAUAAUAGAAACACAAGAUGGGCGGGGUGGAGUGAAUGAGUUUGGUUCAAGUUCAACAACUUAUUUGUGUAUUAAAUUUUUUCUAUCAGAGAGAUUGACUUCAACGUACAGUGGUUAGCUUCAUAAUGCAUUUAAAAUAUUAAUUAGUUAUGAUAUAUGCAUAUUCAUGUAUGCAUGUAUGUAUAUUUGUAUAUUUUGUUGCUAGCUUUUAUGUGCACUGUUCUUUUCUAGAUAUAUACUAGCAAAAUGUCUAUGAUGAGAAUAUUUAAUUAAUUAGAAACACAUGUUACCAAUAUUUAUUAGCUAUCUUAUUUUUUCUUUAACGUUGAUAUGAAUUGUUACAAUAAGGAUACUGUCGCUAUUAAUAUUUACAAUUAGACAUAUUAUAAUAUUCUACCUCUAGAUCAAAUUUAUUAAAUACAGUUCAGAUUAGUGUUUUCACUAACAAUUAAAGAUAUUUGUUUCGUCCGCAUUAUUGGACGAAAUGUCCAUCUUCACCUAAUUAAUUAUGGAAAUGGAGAAAAUAUUGAGUCCAACGGCCCACCACUUCGCCUUUAGUUGUCUUAAAUUUGAGAUUUGGUUAUCGUGUAACAUUGUUUUUAAUUUUCUUUCGGCUGAAUAAAGUUUCCUUCUCAUGCCUUUGAUCACUUAAUUUGUAGCGGGAACCCAAAUUUGCUUGAUUCUUGUUUGUGUAAGAUCAACGGUCAAAUUUACACAUUGUUAAUUAUUAUUUUUAGGCAUCCCAGGCAGAGCUUGUCUAUUAGUGGUCCGGCAUUUUGGCAGUGGGGCCAAGAUGUAAUUCUAUUAUUUUCUCCCAAAAGAAGAGAUGAGUAGAUGACUUUGACCAGAAGCUCCGAUCGUACGUACGCCAGUUAUUUACUCCCCCCCGGUUAAUAAUCAACAGCUUGUGUUUCCCAUUUCGGCCAAUAAAAUUUGAUAGAACCGGGAUUUACAUCCUAUUGUCAGCAAUGCUGUGUUCUUUUUGAGGUCCAUGUGGGGGCUGUGGGCAUUAAUUAGUACUGAGGACAUGUCUUAAUGAGGGAACAUUUUUUUUUUUUUUAAUUUAGAAUUGUGAUUGUGAAAAAAUAAAAUAAAAUAAGCGGUCUUAAAUUUGUUAGGUGUGAUGAAUCAUGAAUCAACUACUUUCUCGCUUCGUACCAGAUUUGAUUAUCUUGUGAAUUUGAAUCAUCCCAAGGGCUAGCUAUAUGCACACAUACAUCAUCCGUGUAUUGAACCCUACUCUUGAGAUAGUGAAAUGCCAUUUCUCUGCUUAUUAGGAUGCCUCUCAUUUCCAAUUAAUGUGACAGCUAUUGGGCUAAAGUUAUUUGUUAGUGGAGAGAAGCAGGUUGCAGAUAAAUAAAUAAAUAUAUAAAACAUCUAUAAUAAUGUUAUAGGCUGGCUUCACAGAUCUCACCUGCCAAACUUAAAGAGGUGCAUGGUCUUGCUUGCUUAAUUAGUUAGCAGAAAAAGUGAGGGGAACGAAUAAAGCGAGAGUCACAUUUUUAGCAAAUAUGAGGAGCUUGUAUUAAUUAGUAAAACGACACAAUAAUAACCAACGCUAUUCUUGACGAUGAUCAUGGUCAAUUCAUCACUAGUUAAUGUUUGAAGCAGACAAAUGAUAUUGAUUUUAUUACACGCACGAUUCGGAUGGCGAAAUUUCGUUAAUUUAUUUUUGGUCAUAUAAGCAUGAAAAAGUUAGCAAGCUACAGAAAUGGCCGGCAAUAUUGGUGACCACUCUCCAAGUAGUUUAAUUUCACACUUCGGCUUCGCUAAAUUCAGUUGGGUAAAUAUGUACGUAGCCGCUAGCGUGGAGGAUAAGAUAAUUAUAAUCCCUCCUAAUCUUAUGUUCGUUUAUGAUGACAGGCUUGGGCUGUUUGGUAAUUACACAGAUUAAAUCAUCCAUAGCUCAAUUAUCGCCAUAUAUGGAUAAUGGCAUUUACGUUGCAGAAGUUGUAUGCCAUCACAAAUAAAUUUUCCAUUACAGUUAGUAAUUGACGCGACGGCUUAAUCUCUCUCUCUCUCUCUCUCUUAAUAUAUCAUAUUUAGAAUUCUACAAUUUUUACAACUACAAAUCUACAAAAACUACAUGACCUAGUCUUAACUUUAAAAAAAAAAAAAUUUAAUUAAUAGUUACAUUGUAUCUCAUUCCUCUGCAAAUGUAUCUCCUUGGACUUGAAAUUGUAACUUUUUGCCUUCAUACUAGAUAUCGACUAAUUGAGCUAUUCUUAAUUAGAGGAUAAUUACGGGUGUUAUAUUAGGGAUUUAGAUUCAAUGUUGAGUUGAGCUUUGUGCUUAGAUUUUCUUAUAAUAUCAUUGGUUUUCAGCACAAAAAAUGAACAAAAAAUCAUAUCAAAUACUUUUCAAAAUUAAGAUCAAAUUUAGAAUUAAAGUCUAGAAUUGCCUUACGUCGUGUAGCAAUUUUAAAAAAUUAAAAAAAAAAAACUCAAACUGUAAAUCCAUGCUAUUCCUCCCAGUCAACAAACAAAAAAAGACAAAUUAUUUUGACCGAGUCAAGACAAAUUACGCAAACUGUAAAAUGUCAGAAAGAAAAAUUCUGACCGAGUCAAGAACCGGCAAGAAAAAGAUAUUCCAUGAACUAUAAGUUAUUUUGAUAUGACUGAAAUGGAAAAUAAUACUUGACUUGCAUUCGGUUGGCUUGCCUAGCCCGUAAAUGGUGGCAAGAGCGAUCUGUGAUCAUCACCUCAUCAGGAAUUGUUAUCACAGCGUCAAGAUUAUCGUUUGCCUGGCGGGCAUUGUGACAACGGUCCAAAUGAAAUGCCUCAUCGUAUGUAAGUAGUGAUCAUAAUUUAACUUUCUAGUAGUAUACGCGGAUUACCUUCAAAGAAGGUUAAUGAUAUAUGGUUUAUCAGAUUUUGGUGAAUGUAAUCAAUACUUACAACGUCUUAAUUGAAUGGUACAUGAUAUUGAUUCAUGGGUUACACGCAGUGUCUUUCUUAAUUUGCACAUGUUGUGUGCACCGAUUGCGUCAAUGCACUUUGCAGCAGCAAGUACUGUUUUAUGCUAAUGUCUCAUCAACCCAAUUUUGGGCCCAAUCGCAAAAUUAGGCAAAGCUUAUAGACUGAAGAAACCGACAUGAAAUUCUGUAACAAAUGUGCCAUUAUCGUUCAUUAUUAAAUACCCUCCCAUUGCUAUUAUGAAACGACAGCUUAACUUGCUGUAGUCAAUCCAUUGUGCUUUUUUUUUUUUAAUACAACUGAUUAAAUAUAAUCAAUUUCUUAUAUGGGGCCUCGAGAGAAGUGUUUUGACUACUCUCAGAGGGCACAAUGGCUCAGAGCUGUUGUCCUAGCAGGCGUUGAAGGGUUAGCUUUGAGCCUUUGACAAUAUUAUGGCUCAUGGCAGUAGAAAAAGCUACACAUAAUAAUUCUACUACAAAUGAAAUGAAGAUCAUGCUAAUCUCAGGGACACUUGGCUUUAAUUGCCGGGGCCAUGAGAAUUGCAACUUCAGUAUUGGUGUCUGUUUACACUCAAGUUGAUACAAUCAACUUUCAAGCGGAAAGAGACUUCAAAAUGGAACGCUCCGUUGAUCAGAGGACGGCGGUUCCUAGUGCAAUUCAGAUAGCCGUGGCAUCAUCGCUCGCUUUUUUGUUUUGGGGCAAAGUGCCUAUGCUUGCAGCUGGGUUUAUAAGAUCAUCAUUUGGGGUCUUCCAUUGCCUUGGUUGCAGCAACUUUGUCGAUGGUGAUGUUGGGAAUCGUUGGAGCAGCACUUGGAAAAGUACCCACUAUGAGGUCUUGUGUUAGAGUUGUCGUGGGGGGAUUUGUAGCAGUCCCAAUAAGGUGGGGGAAGGUUAAAAUUAUUGAAAAUAGGCUUCAGAUCAAUGAAGGCAUAAAAUUUUAAUUAGUACGUGGUUGCAUGGCUUGUGCUGCAAUCUAAAAGAUGAAAUAUAUAUGCUCAUUUUAGAUGGUCUCUGACUUAUUCAAAUUGGCCAGGGACAGGUAAUUAGAUCAAAUAAAAAUAAAUUUCUAGAUCUUAUAAAUUAAUCAAUUCAUUUGCCAUUAACCUAAUACUCAAGAUCAUUUAUAAUAUGGACCUUCUGUUGUAUGCCAGAUUUCUGUAAACUCAUAAUAUAAUUAAGAACUAAUCAAGUAGUUGACCCCAAUCCUAGAGAUUAAAGGAGAUUUAUUGGACCAUAAAAUGUUCGGUAAAAUUUUCCCGACACUCCGGCGACGGAGUAGUUUCUUCCAAAUUAAGGGGCGGGAUUUGAAGAAAGUUUUGAGGUCAUUCCAAAUGUGAUCGUUAGAGGAGACUUAAAAUUGUGUGUUUAUUGGGUUCUUGACUUCUUGUUGUAUCGGCAAAGGAGUCUACACGCUCUACUCGUGUUUGAUAUCUUGGCCAGCAUAAUAUAUUGGGUCCAACUGAAGAUCCCAAGUAUGGAAUGAAUGUGGAAUGAAUUUAGAGAGAGAAAAUAAAUAAAUAAUAUUAAAUUUCAUGAACUGUUUCAAAAAUAACCUCUUUAACCCAAUUGAGAAACUUGUUAUAAUUAAGUACUAAAUUCACUCACAUUCACAUUUUCGAAUUUUAAAACUUGAAAGUGAUAUGUUUUAAAACUUAAAAGGGAUAUACAACCUUUUAAUAAUAUAAUUUAAUUCAUUGUAAUGUUAAAUAGAGAUUUUGUAGCGAAUUAUAAAAUUAUUAGUUCUAAUUUUGAAUAGAGACUUUGUAGGGAUUCAAACUAUUUAAUUAUAAACAGAGAGACUCUGUGUGGAUGAUCCAUGUUGGAAGUAUCUAUUAUAGGGAGAUCAUGUAUGAAAUAACGAGCACAAGUUUAAUUAUUAAUUUGCUGCUGGCCAGGAUUUGUUUUCAUAUAGUUAAAUGUAAAUUUCAGCAAAUUUGACAAUCUCAUCACCCCCAGAUGAAUUAAUUUAUAGUUCUACUGUCUUCUCUAGACAAUCUUUAAAUUAGCAUUAUUGUAAAGAGACCCAGCUAAAGCAUCUUGGAGUUUUCCACAUUGCGCUCGAGAGAAAAUAAUUUUAAAGCUACAAAUGGAUUGGGCGGUGAACUUUAGAAAAGAAUUUUGUGUGUUGGGGGGGGGGGGGUUUGAGGAUUAUAGAAUACAUCUGUUGUAUUACAAUCAAUUGAUGUAUGCAUUUGAUGUAUGCAUGACAUGUGUAAUUAAAUUUUAUGCAACCACCACUUGCAUGAUGGUUUACAAAAUAAAUGCACACAUGUCAUGAUAUUAUUUGAUUGUUGUAUGAUUGACAUGGUAUAACAGAUGUAUUCUAGAAUUUCUCUCUUAUGGGAUAUCUAUCCUCUCUGAUGUUUUAAUUAAUUAAUUAAUUAAAUUUAUUUAAUGUUCUAUAUGUAUGUUUAAAUCUUAGAGAAAUCAAAGUCUUUGCGUAAUAUCCCCUUCCAUUGUAUCCUUUGUUUGUGUUUUGAUUGAAAUGGAAGGCAUGUCAUGGUGCAAAGGCUCAACAGGUUUCUCGAUCGGAUGUCAUUUUUUACCUUUUAACUGCCUUGCUAGUUGUGUUAUAAAUAAUGGUUGGCCUUCAACUUCAAGUAUUCUUCUAUACAUACGUGGUACCAGUGGCGGACCCAUAAAUUUUAUCUAGCAGAGACUUAGUGCAAUACAAUUAAAAAAAAAAAAAAAUCACUAACAAGCUCGUAUAUAAGCCAGUAAGAGGCUGUUUCAACUUAACCUAGGUAUUCGGUUUGAAACUUGAAAAUGCAAUUGUGUUAAAUACUUAUUGGGAGAGUUUUGCCGCCUUAGUGAUCCUACUCAGCUCGAAUUUGAAUUAGUCGGGACUCAAUGUGAUCAUUUGAUACCAGAUGAUUUAAUACACCGAAAAAAAUUCAAACAAAAACAACAAGUGCCAAAUUAUUGAACUUCAUUAAAUUAAUAAUUUUCAACACAUUUACGACUAUCAUCAACUCAUUUUCAGUUUUUUAAAAAUUACGUACUAUAAUAAUUUCAUUAUCAACUUAAUCAACAAUUUGAAAUUUUGUUGUUUUCAUACAAUGACUUAAAUUAGAAUAAUUAUUUGAGGCAAAAAAAAAGGUUACCACAAAUAGUAAGAAAUUUAGUUGAUCAAAUAACUCUAUCUCAACUAGUCGUGUUUAAUUCAUAUGAGAAAAUCUUAAUACUUCCUUCGUUUUUUUAUUUGAAUGUGAUAAAAAGAUCGUGCAAUUUUAUUUUUGAAAGAGUGAUGAAACCGGUUGGCUAAUUAAAAAGCUAAAAACCAAUGACUUUUGCCUUGAUAUUUUUGAAAAUUUAAAGUUAUAAGAUGACAAUUAUGUCAAUCAAUUAAAUCAUCACUUAAACACUCCUUUCAAGUCUAGUAUAUAUAAAACAAACUAAAACAUGAGCCAAACAUAUAAAUAUUUUCAAAGGAAAAUUUGAAAGUUUAGAAGAAACUUUAAACUUUUAAAUUGACCAAUUAUUAUAUAUUCAAAUAAAUUUCAAAGCUCAGGAGAGCCUACACUAGGUCCACCCAUGCGUGGCACGUUUCAAUUGAAUCACGAGGUGCUGGUCUCUUACUUUAUCAUUAUCAGCUCCAAUGUAGGUAGCCUAAUUAAUUAUAAUUAAUGCUGCAAUGUUACCUCGCUCUCAAGUCUCAAUCACAAACGAAAUUAAACCAGGCAGGUAAGCUUCAUAAUUUUAAUUUAAGGCUGCAAUGUUACCUCUCAAGUCUCAAUCACAAACGAAAUUAAAUCAGAUAAGUAAACUUUAUAAUUUUAAUUUAAGUCAAUAGUUACUUUAGAGCUGCUCCAAAGCAGAAUAUAAAUCACAGCUACAUGCGUUAUAACUUUCAAUUAUGUAAUUAUAAAAACAUGUUGUACUUUACAGUGGUUCCAACAUAUCCAGUUUUUUAAUUUAAAGAUAAUUUAUAUCACAUGAAAUUUAGUACCCAGUGAACCAUUAUUACAUUAGUAGAGGUAAUUUACCAUUAUGAAAGUUAAUAAUUAACAAGCUAGCUAAUGCUAAUUACUAAGACUUAUGUAAUUAGCUUCCUAUUACAUUUUAUAUAUUGAUGGAUUAAUUCAUUGUGUCCUUGCCUGUGUUUGUUUUCCAUGGGAUCUCAACUAGAGGGUAUUUUGGCUCCGUUUUACUUUCAUUUCAAUGUGUUUAAAGGGGAGGGGGGGGGGGGGGGGGGGGGGGGGGGGGGGGGCGGCGGAGAGAUGUAAUUUCGACAAACAAAAAGGACUUCUCAAUUUUGAUCAAACGUCACCAUGAUGGCCCCUUUUAAGUAAUUUCUAAAAAACUUUCUUCAUAAACUGAAUUUGAUUCAUCACAUGUUAGCGUGAUGAAUUUACCAGUGCCGGCGGAGUUUGUCUGCAUGCUCAAGAUGAUAUCAUGCUCUGUGAUGGAAAGAGGCUGAACUCUAACCAUGCCUUGUGUCACGGCCCCCUCGCAUCCCACGCUAGAAUCAUCCAUGGGCCAGGCCAUGUUGGAGGCUUGGCCCGUGACACUUGUGAGCUGAGUUGUUUGCUUUGAAGGUUGUUAACUUUAAUUUUUUAUUUUUUUUUCCAAUUUACAUUUUAAUUCACGUCACUGAUUAAAUAAUGAAUGAUUUCUAUGAUAAUUGUUUUUUAAAAAAUACUCUUAAGAAGAAAUAUCUUUAACAUGAGCAUAUUUUUUAGUUUUAUUUGAUCGGGUAUAAAAAAAAAGGAUAAAAAAUGUAAUAAAGAUAAAAGUGGCAAUUAGAUGAGAUAUAUUCAGAGAAAGAAAUUAUUUUUAAUUUUUUAUCGUAGGAUUAGUUUAGAAGUAGGGCUCCUAUGAUAAAAAAAAAAAUUAAAAAUAGAGCUGAUGAGAUAUGUUGAGGGAUGAAAAAUCACCUCCACUCGUGGAUUAAUUACAUUGCUUCCUUUCGACGCAUCUGCGACUAUUUAAUUCAGACUUAAAUCUGCGAGUUCUAGGCGGGCCAAACUGGUAAGCCCAUGUUGACCUUGCCCAUUCUCGGCCCAAUGAGAACCCGGAUCGAUAUUUAUUUACUAAUUUUUAACCUCGAAGUAACGAAAGCGAAACCUUGAAACAAAGCAACGGCGGGACGGGAUCCCGGGAAAGAUGAGCUCAGUGAGCUUCUCUUCGAUCUUCACAAACAAUGGCCGGAGUUUGGGUGCACCGGUAUCCCUCCUGCGCACGUUAGCAUCAACACACGCAUCUUGUCAUAGAAAUAUCUAUAAGAGCAAUGUUGUUUUAUCUUUCUCUUCAAGUAACAGAAACUUUGUUUGCGAAUCCUGGAAACGACAUGUAUUCACUCACACAGACACAGCCGCUACUGCUGCUGCCACAACUCCUUCGUCUUAUGAGUAUUCUCGAAAUCCCUUUUUUUUCCCCAUUUUUGCCACUUGGCUGUCUCUCUAAGUUAAGCUCGUACUCCUUGAAAAUAAGGCGGCUACUGGGACAAAUAAAAAUUUGUAAACUUUUUAACUUGUUCUUUGUUUGGUUGCUGAGAAAGUUGGGGAAAAGGAAGGAAAAAAAGUUGGAAUUUAAUGCCUACUCCUUAAGUUUUGUCUGCUGUUGUUUUCAAAUGGGUGCAGAUGAUUUCAGCUUUUGUUUUUUGUCUUAUUCUGAAAGAUUUUUUUUUUCUUUUGAUUUGGUCUCCCACAUUUUGUUGGUGGGUGCUGAAUAAAUUAGAAAUACACGGCAAUACUUUUUAGGGUGUCUGAAUGUAAUUUUUAUGGAUUUUUUCCCCCUAAAACUCUGGUUUUCAAUUUGAACUUCAAGCUAAAGUAUGGCAGAUUGAGCUUGCACUUUUGUUGGAAGCUCCAAUAAUUGAGGAAGCGAAAGUGAAAGAGAAUAAAUCCUUGAAUCUCAGUCUUUUACUAAAAGAAAAUUCCAGUUUGUGGGUGCUGUAAAAUUGAAAAUUGGCGCACUUAUUUUUCUGGUUGUUCUUUUAAAUUUCAGUUUCAUGGAACUUAUAAUGUUGUAAAUUUUAAUUCUGUGCAGCAUUUUAUCUUGUUGGAUGCAGGGAAUAUUAACCUAUUAAGCUUUGUUUUUCUAUUUGUGAUCUGUUACCAUUAUUCCUGCUAAGUGUGCAGCUCUUCUUCCCUAUGUUUCUUUUAUUUAAUGACACCUAAUCAUCAAGCUUCGUGACUUUUGGUAUUUUUCUAUUUCAGCUAUCCUGAAUAUCAUCGCUUGCUUCCAUGCCCCUUACAGAACUGUCCACCAAGAGUUGAACAUUUAGUUGUUUCAGAAGGAGGGCCUGUUCUAGAAUAUAUCUGUAGAGAACUGAAUCUUCCCCCUCUGUGAGUGCUCCUCUGUUUGAAAUUUAUAGGUUUUUGAUUGAUGGUUCAAGUAACGUAUGUUGUAUUUCCAAAGUUAUCUGAUUUUAAUGAGAAUGGAGUGAUAUAUAUACAUCAUUUCAUUCUUUGAAGGUUUGUUGCAGAUCUUAUCCAUUUUGGAGCUGUUUAUUAUGCCCUUGUAUGUCCAAAACCUCCUCUAACUGCAACUCCUGAGCAGAUGAGGGUAUUUAAAGAAGUUACGGAUCCAUCAGUUCUCAGUAAAAGAUCUUCUAUCAAAGGAAAGACAGUACGAGAAGCACAAAAAACGUUUCGUAUAACUCAUGUGGACCAGAUUGUUGAAGCCGGAACAUACUUGCGUGUGCAUGUACACCCAAAACGAUUCCCAAGGUGGAACACAAGUUUUGACUGAUGUUUACUAUGAUUUCUGACAAGCAAUAUAAAAUACCUUCGAAUUUUGUUCAGGUGCUAUGACAUUGACUGGAAUUCGAGAAUCAUAGCAGUGACUGAAUCCCAUGUGGUUUUGGACAAACCGGCUGGGACAUCUGUAUGUAAUUCAUCAAUUAAGAUCUCAUUUUCUUUAUUUGCUGAUUUCAGCAUGUAAGAUGUGAUAAGUUGUUCGCAAUGCGCUUUAGUAGUUAAUUAUUACUCUUAUCUUAGGAGAAAAUUGUCCUGUUUUGAGCUAGAGUCAGCAGCCCUCUGCCUGUUUAUGCUGUUGACCAUGCUGUACCUUUUCCUCUUGAUAUAUUUUAUUUGGUACAUUUCCAAAUGCUUUUCUGACUAGUCAGCUUUUGUUUGUGGUGUCUAAUUAUUCCUUGUGAACAUUGGUUAGGUGGGAGGAACCACAGACAACAUAGAAGAAAGUUGUGCAACAUUUGCCUCUCGUGCCUUGGGAUUAACUACUCCUCUGAGGACCACCCAUCAGAUUGAUAAUUGCACAGAGGGCUGGUAUUGCUAUUUUACAACAUUAGCAUAGUAGCUCUUAAUGUCAUUAGAAUAUAGUUUUUUCUCUUUUUUUCCCAUUUUUCAUGUGGACUUUUUCAAUAAAUACAUUUUUUUGUUUAUUAUUGAACACAAAAAUAUUAUUGGUAUUGGUACACAACGUAAUAAUGACUAAUAAUUCUUCUGUAGUGUUGUGUUAGCCCGGACUCAGGAGUACUGCUCAAUUUUCCACAGAAAAAUCAGAGUAACUUUUUAAUUCCAAUUCUUAGAUUUGAUUAUUUAUACAGCUUAUUUUGCAAAAGCUUAAGUCCUGUUUAGGAUAGCUGCUGCCAAACCUACAUUAUAGGAGAGAUUUUCUCCUAAAAUACAGGUUUGGGGCAGCUGUCCUAAACGGGCCUAUAGUCUAGCAACUCAGGAGCUGCAAGGUGAAAAUUUUAUCUUGUCUUUCUCUAUUAGGGCUUCCCCUUCAGUGUCAAUAGAGUAUGAGGCAGAUGAAACCAUAUAUUUUUGAUAUAGCAUAUUUAUUAAGUGUUAUUAAUUUUCUGUUCAUACCCUGAAGUCAUUUGCUUUGAAAUGAUAUUUUGUUUUUUAUUUAGGAGAAAAAGGUGAAGAAGCUUUAUCUUGCUCUUACUACUGCUCCUCUGCCAGUUGGAAUAAUGACUCACUAUAUGCGUCCUAUUAAUAUUGCCCCAAGACUUGUUUCAGAAGGUAAGACCAUCUUCGGCCUUGCCCUGAUGAUUAGAGAAAUGGUUUGGAAAUUUGAAGCAUGCAUUCUCUAGCCCUGAGAUUGACAGACCUGUAGCAUGUAAGUGUUCAAACAAAGGUUUAUGAAGAAGUAUCAACGCGUAUGGAAAUUGAAAGUGUAGGCCUUGAGGUUCGUUUGAAAAAAAGAAAAAAUUGAAACUGUAGGCCGCUACAUUUUCAUCAUAUUUCCCUUUCUUUUUUGUCCAUUUUCUCAGUUUUUCAAAUCAUGAUCACAAAAUGGUGUUAGAUCUUAUGUAGAGAUACAUUAGCAAUUGGGAAACAAAUUGCAUCCUUAUUCUAGGUGCCGCCAACCCCUGCUCCCUCUUUUUUUUUUUUAAUCUUUUAAGUGAAUUUGAACUUAUAUCUGAAUUGUGUUUCUCUCCUUUAGAUCCUUUCGGUAAAAACUUUCUAAUACCUGUUGUCAUGUGGUAGGUUCAAUUUUAAUAAUGUACUCUUUUUGUAAGUUGGUCGACAGCACUUUUUGUCUUGUCUCUGUAUAUGGGAAAUUAAUUAUAUAGAAGAGCUUUAUUGCAUGCAGAUUUUAUUAAAGGAUGGUACUUAUGCCAACUUGAGGUUAUGGAAUGCAAGAAAGUACCAUGGCCAGAUGCUACUGUUGGAAAAGCCUAUUCUAUAGAAGACUGUGGAUGGCCAUCAAGAGAUUAUGCAUAUGAGUGUAAAAUCAAGCUCUUGACUGGCCGGACUCAUCAGGUUAUUGAUCUGUCCUUUUGUUACCUAAUUUUGCUGGUUUUAUGUUAUUAUAAAGUUUGAUCUAUCCUGCAGUUGUCAGUCAUGCAUUAUAGAAUUUCCAUAAAUGUUACUUCAAAUGCCAAUCUGUGCUUUGGAGCUGGGUCUAAAAGGUGAUAACAUCCCUGUCAAUUUGUUUUUUAAUGCUUCCUAAAGUAUUGUGUUGAAUUUAAGUUUGACCUUGAGAGCAGAAAGUUCCUCGUUGUGUAGGGUUCAAUGAAUUAACCCAGAAUAUUUGACUGGGUUUAUGGGGGAAACUGAAAAAAGUAUUUAGCUUGUUCUAUACGCUUGAUUUUCAGGUUCUUUGGUCGAAGACAUAAAUCAAUGUUAAUAUUGUGUUGAAAAUGGUGGUCAGAGUUGUAAAGCAAUUUUUCUCAUUUUAUUGUAUAUGGCAGCUGCAAUCAUAGUUUUUUAUGUUAUAAGAUGUGAGAGUAGGAUGGCAUUGAAUAAACUAAAUGUUAACCUACUCUUUUCUAAGCCUAUGUAACCUGAGGCUGUGAUCAGGUGCGAGCACAACUGGCUGCCUGUGGUGCACCGAUUGUGGGUGACUCGAUGUACAUGCCAGCUGCCAUUGCACAGUUGUCCAGCCCUGGGCUUAAUCCCUUUGGCAAAUGCCAGAAAGAAUACGCAAGUGAUGAUGAUAAAGAAAUGGCUGUGAUUGAGUGGAUUUCACAGCAUGGAAAGGAACCUAGUGUUGCUAUUGGUCUGCAAGCAUGUCAUAUCUCAUGGGAUGAUGGUGAGUGCUGUUAUGAGGCUAGAUCUCCUUGGUGGAGAUGUAAGUGUAAUGUAGGUUCUGGGGUAUGAAGAUCAAUGAUACUCCAUUAUUUUCUCAGAGCUGAAGGUGAGGUCUGUCUCUCAUAUCACCAUAUUUAGAGUCCUGACUUCAGUUUGCAUUUUUCAAAAUAUUGUUCAUUGAUAAAUAAGAUGCAUCUUAUGUAUGUAGGUAUAGCUCGCAAAAGACAGAAUCCACAUAGAAACAAACUAAAAUUGGAGCAAAUUUGGUAAUGUUGCGCAGAGAAAACAGAUCAUGACCUGUGGUUUUUGGAGAACUCAGAUUCUGAUGUAGAAGAAGGCAAUGAAAGCAUGAUUUUACCAGAGACCAUCUCUAUCACUGUUUCUGUGUUUCUCUCUCUAUCUGAUUAAGUAGAAUGGUUUAUGCCUACAAUAACUCCUUUAUAUAUUUGUGACCAUUGAGAUAUGUGAUGAAAAGCGUAAUUGUGUUUUAAGGAACUACCCGUUCCCUUGUAUGAUAAUGUUGAUGACUUCUUAUUUAAUUGCUUCUUUGUGGCAUUGCCCUUGGAGUAAUUAAUGGUAAAUAUUCAGUUGAUUCAGCCUGCAAUUGUCUUCACUUUGAAUAACCGUUGAUUUUUUAUAUGUUUCCACAAGCAGUCCAUGCUGCAUUGAAUAAUGGAAAUCUGUAUUGGUUAAGCUGCUUCUCAGAAUAGCAACUUUCAGUUUGAUUAAGAGUAGAGUAUGAAUACAUCUCUAUACUCUAGAAUGCUUCACACAUUGUAAAUUAUGAAUUCUCUCAUUUUCCUGGAUGUGCUGUGUGUGGCCAUAUUUGUAAUUUGUUAUUGUGUCUGAGAUGAACGUGGAGAGAAGAUUAUGAAUACCCUUAGAACUGGGGGUGUUUUGAAGUAUGCUUUGGUGACUGGGAUUUGAUUAGCUUAUGCUUUGCAAUGAAGUGUUUGUACCAAGUCGCUGACAGCUUAGGAGUCCUCUUCAGUGUUGCAAAAUCAACAUGGUGAAGGCCGAACCUUGCUGUGUAGCCAUAGGUCCAUUCAAAGGAGUCCAGCAAGGACCAGACAAAAUAGCCCCUAACAUCUGCUCCGUCUCUGUGUAAAUACGAAAGAAAGGAAAUCGGCCAUUGUAGUACUUGCGUGAGUUUACAUAUUAAAAAGAUUGCACUGCAUUGGGAGCUGCAUAAAUAAUGCAUAACCCUUUUGUUCUGAUUGUUUAAUAGUAUUUCAUUUCGUGUUACCACAUUCUUACCUCACUGCGGUUAUUAGCGCAUCCAAGUAGCUAGCCAUGUACUCAACUCUUUUUACAUCAUUGAGUAAGUCUUCAGUGCUGGAAUUUGGCAUGCAAAUCUCACCAUAUCCUACAAGAUAUCAUACAUUUUAAAGAAGAUACGUGGCAAUAUUGUGAUGAGCUGGCCUGGAAAUUUUUUCUUACCAUUUUCCGUGAUGAACAUGGGUGUGUUCUUGUAUCUUUCUUUAAUGUAUUUUAUUAUCUUCCACAUUCCUUGCGGGUAAACAUUUAGCCAAAAUAAUGUUGUCUGCACAGCCAAAAGCUUCAGCAGCUUGUAAAUGCAUCAGGAAGGUCAGUUAUCAUGGUGAUGAAUUUAGGUACUCACAGGUUCGCCAAGGGGGACACCGUGUUUCUGUGAAUUUUGUAGGCAAAAUCCUUCCGUCUUGGAAGCACCUGGUCCAGGUUUGCAUGCAGAGAAGAUGCAGUCUUGGACGUAGGUACUGGUGUAGUGAUUGAUGCCAAUGAAGUCCAGGCCCUGCUUCAGUUUCUCCUUAUCCCUGCUUGAGAAUUUUGGUAGUGUGGAACCUACAAUAUUCAUCAUCUCUGCAGGAUAUUUCCCAUAUAUUAUUGGGUCUAGAAACCUGCAUCAGAGCCAAGAUUCAUGAAAGCCUUAUUGACGAAAAUAAGUUUGCAUUUCUGCAUGUUCAUUGAUGGAAAAUGAUUGACUGAGAAGUUAAAAGAACUAACCAAUUCAUGUAGAAGGAUUGAGCUCUUUCAGCAGCUAACUUGUCUGCUGUGGAGCUGCUGAUGGGUUCAAACCACAGUGUGUUUAAGAUAAUGCCAAUGCUGCCUCCUUGAUCUUUCUGGACUUUCACUGACACAGUAAGCUUACACCAAAAACUUAAAUAUUUUUUAAUUUUUAACACUGCAAUAUGUUUAUUGUAGCUGCUAAUCCCUGGAAUUGGUGACUAAAGAAAGCAGGGUUUCGAUCUAAUAUUGGUUUUAGUGUUACUACCUGGUAUUUGGUUCGGUAUAUAUCAACUGCAGUUGCAUGCGAUAAGAUGAGAUUGUGAGCUGCUAUAAAAGGCUCCUCCUCUGAAUUGCCCUGACUGCAAUUUCCAAAUGGCUGCGAGCAAUGAGCUGGGGGAUGGCAGCCUAAACGAUAACUAAGGGUAACCUGCAUAUUUGGCUCAUUGAUGGUGAACCAGUAUUUCACUCGGUCUCCGAAAGAUUUAAAACAAAUGUCUGCAAAAUAUCCAAAAUCCUCCCUGGAAAAACAAAAGGGAUGUAUGAACCGUUAACAUGAUCAGAUCAUUUCCAGCAGCAUAAUCAAAAUCAUGCUCUCACAGAAAAUUUCUCACUGUGAUUCAGGGCUUAGCCAGGCUCCGUAUUUGUCUUCAAUUUCUUGAGGACUAUCAAAUUGAGUCAGUGUCACAAAUGGCUGGAUCCCUGUAAGUGCAGAAUUGAGGAAAUAAGAAAGAGAACACAAGACUUCAUGUGGUGAAUAUCAAAGGAGACUGUAGUGAACCUUUCAGUAAGAGGGCAUCAAUGAGCUUGUUGUAGUGGUUAAUACCCUCUGAAUUGACGUCUCCAAAUCUCCCUUCUGUUAAAUUGUAUCAAAAAAUUACUUUCUUUCCUAGCAACAGCAUUUUACGUGCAAACGAGAAAUAGGAUGAAAACGUACUUGGUAAAAUUCUUGCCCAUGAAAUUGAGAAGCGAUAGCUGUUCACUCCCAGGGAUUCCAUAAGAUCGAUGUCUUCCUAUUUUCAUCAAUGCAGCCAUCUCAGAAAUUUUCAACAAUUAAUCUCAUUCUAUACAUGGCCACAUAUUCAAGAAAUUUGUACGGUUGAUGCUUGAUUGAAAUCAUGUAGUUAUAAUUGGCUCUUCCUUUUAACAUUGAUAUGUAUAUUAUUAUGAAAAAAAAUCUGUUAGAUAUUUGUAAUUAGAAAUCUACUGAGAUAAUCUAAAUCAAGUUUAUUAUAACACAACCUAAAUUUCUAUCCCCACUAAUAUUAUAAAGAGAUUUUACUCUAUUAAUGUAAGGCAGAUAUCUAAUUUUAAAGUUGAGAGGAAAUAAAUUUAUAGCAUAUGAUGAGGCUCUUUAUUUAUUUGCUGGUAAGCAAAUGGGAAGAACAAGGAGAAGUGAUCAAGAAAUUAUUUCCCCUUCGCUCCAGUCAAAGUAUCACUGAAUGAGUAAUACAAAAAUAAAUAACGUGGAAAUGGGUCCAUCGCAGACAGGCUUUCUCUUAACAGUUCAUGUAUAUUCAUCAGAGAAAUAAAGACUUUUUUUUUGUCUAAAAGCAGCAGAUUUCAUUUUCAAUGGCUAACCAAGUAAACAUCAAAUGAUAGUGCUCGAGUGCCAUUCACUUUUGAAGAAAAGAAACUAAGUAAACCAUUUAAUGCUGGCCACGUCAACGAUAUUAUUUCACCUAACAGAAGUGUCUUCUCAUAAAUAUCAUCUUUAAUUUCUAUAAAAGAUUUAGGAUAUUAUUAAAUGCUCGCCUAAUAUUUUUUAACACAUCGUUAAGAUUUUUUGACAAUAAUAUUUUACCACAUAAUAUUUUUAUUUUUAUCAUUUUACUAUCAAAUAGUUAACUAUAUUUAAAAAAUGAUGACUAACUUGUAAGGGUAUUUAAAAUAUUUCAAUUUGAUAAGUUUAAACAAUAAUGGUGAUUUGAUAUAUAAUGGAAAAAAAAACAUGUAGUAAUUUGAUAACUUCCCAAUAAGUUAGUGUUAAAUCGAUAAUAUUUCAAUAAAAUAUUACAGUUAUUUAGGAUUAUUAAAUUAAAUAUUGCAAUUAAUAUGUAUUUACUAAAUUGAUUUAAAUAGCUAAACACAAAUUUUAAAAGAACGAGCAACUAAAAUAAAAUAAUUUUCUUAAAAUAAUUAUUUAUUUUUAUUAAAUUUAUUAUUAUAGUUGAUUGGGUCUAGGAACCUGGACACUACUUAUACAUGGGCGUUACAAGGGAAGGGCCCGAAAGUGAGCAAUCAAUGAAUGUUCAGACGAGGUUCUAUAAAGUCCAGAUGAAUUAAUCAUUGUCAGAAAAAUCCAACAAAAAGUAAGUAGGAGAAAAGACUGAUUGAAAAAAAAGAAAAAAGAUUUCGUAGUCCAAUUCUCCACCUUAAACUGUAUAUAAGAUAUAUUUUUUUGUAUAAAUAGUACGUAGAUCCCAUAUAUAUAUUAUUUAUGUGAGGAUGAUGUAUGUUAGAUAUAUGAUUAAAAAAAAAAAAAGAAAAAAGAUUUGUAGUCCAAUUCUUCACCUUAAACUGCAUGUAAGAUAUAUUUUUCUCAUAUAAAUAGUACAUAAGUCCCAUAUAUGUACUGUUCAUGUGAGGGGGAUGUAUGUUACAUGCAUGAUUGAAAAUAAAGAAAAAAGAUUCAUAGUCCAAUUCUCCAACUUAAACUGUAUGUAAGAUACAUUUUUCUCAUAUGAAUAGUGCGUAGGUCCCAUAUAUGUACUGUUCAUGUGAGGGGGAUGUAUGUUACAUGCAUGUAAGAUAGGGAUUGCCUAAACUUAAUAAUAAGAAAAAAAUUAUCAUUAAAUCACAUCUCUUUUGUCUUAUGUUUAUCUAAUUAUUAUAAAAUUUUAAUAUAUUUUUUACACCACCUUUCUUUUUUAAUUUGUAUCAACUAGUCACUUUUAUACUAAUACCAUUCAAUAAUUUAAAUAAAAUGAUAAUUUUACCUUAAAUAAAUUAAAAGAUCAUUCUUAUUUUAUAAAGAUUUAAAAAUAAAAAAUUAUAAUCAUAAAAAUACCCCUAAAUUUAAUAAAAAAUAAAUCCCAAAAUUAGAAUAUUUAUUUUUUAAUAAAAAAUUAUAAUUAUAAAAAUAAUUACAAAAUUUUGGGAUUUAAUAAUAAUCUCCUAAAUUAUCAAAAUUUUGGGAUUUAUUUUUAAUAAAUAAAUUCAGUUAUUUUAAUAAAAUUUUGUAAAAUUAUAAUUUUUAAUAAAUAAAUUCAGUUAUUUUAAUAAAAUUUUGUAAAAUUAUAAUUUUUAAUAAAUAAAUUCAGUUAUUUUUAUUAAAAUAUUACAAAAUUAUAAUUUUUAAUAAAAAUAAUUAUUAAAAUUUUACAAAAUCUAAAUUUAAUAAAAAUCAGCUGAGCACCUCUAUUUGGGAUUUUUUUUAAUUAAAUUUAGGGGUAUUUUUAUAAUUAUAAUUUUUUAUUUUUCAAAGUUUUUAUAAAAUUAAAUUAUCUUUCAAUUUAUUUAGAGGUAAAAUUAUCAUUUUAUUUAAAUUAUUUAAUAGUUUUAGUGUAAAAGUGGCUAAUCGAUACAAAUUUAAAAAGAAAGGUGGUGCAAAAAACAUGUUAGAAUUUUGUGGUGGUUGGAUAAAUAUAAUGUAAAAAAGAGGUGGUGCAGUGAUAAUUUUCUAAAAAAAAAUUCAAAUAAAGGGUAAAAUAAUUUUUUAACAAAGAAAAAAAAAUUAAAUAUUCUAUUUCUUUUAACGACCGGUGGUAAAAUCAUAACAAUUAAAAUAUCAGGUUUAGCUAUAAAAACCCUUGAUAACAAAAUGAUAUAUCAAAAAUCCUGAUAAAGUGAUAUAUUCCCAAACAAAUUGUCUACUUUAAUUUGACAUUGUCAACUCCUUAGUGCAAUGUGGGCCCUUUUAAAUUUUGUUCAAAAUUAGGGAAAAAAAAAAAAAAAAAGGUGUGGAGGAGGCAAAACCAGAUAGCGAUGAUAAUGAUCCACGGCUACAUCCCCACUGCUUCCAUCAUCUAUGUUUCCUGCCACACAUAAAGCUUUCUUUACGUCAAAUGAAUUUGUGAAUAUAUGAUGAAGCAAAUGAACUUAUGUGUAAAACCUGCUGAAGGUUUGCUGGAGACAAAAUGAAUCAGGAAAAGCGGUUCUCUUGUUUCAAAAAACAUGGGAAUGUUGCAGCAGUUCAGGUAAGUUACAAAUAAAAUUGCACAAAACUCUGUUGGAUCAUGGAAAGGAGGAAUUCUUCUUACCAGGUGUAUGAGUAAAAACAUCCCAGUUGCUCAAACCUUUACCUUCACUCAAAUAAGCACCUUCGACCUGCAAAAAGUAAAAUUAAAUUUUUUUUUUUUUUAAGAAAAAGAAAAAGAAUGUGAGGCUGACUUAAGUUUUAUUUUAUCAUAUUUGUUUCCAUUAUGGAAAGUAUGAUGAAUGAAACUGUGUGAACACAUAAGAAUAUAAAUGGUAGUAGGAAUACCAGAAGCCAAACCUGAUAUGAGGAGGUGGAAGUUCCAAAGAGAAAGUUGGAAGGAAAUGGAGAUGGAUCCAAGCUUUGUUUCAGAGUUGUUUGAUCACAAGAUAUGAAGAGAGGUGAGAGUAGCAUCAUUAAGAGAAAGAGAGCUGUAUCCACUGUUGGGAAAUUCAUGGCAGCAGUGUGCUUGCUCAUUAAACAUGCAUUACUUCUGUCUAUUUUAACAUAGGAGAGUUGGUGGGAGAGCAAUUCAAAGAAUUUGUUUUCUUGCAUUGCGGAAUAAGGACCGCUUGUAUUCUUGCACUUUGUCUUCACUUUUCGUUGUUAUAUUAUCCAUUUGACCCUUGUGUUGGGCAUGUCAUUAUCAAGUUAGGCAUCCAUUCUUAAUUUCUUUCAAAUUCCAAUUUAUUUUUCAAAUUUCAUUGUUACACGUAGGGGUGGCAAAAAAGCCCGGGCCCAACUCGGGCCCGCAGGCUUAGGCCCGACCCUCAUCCAUGAGGGUCUGGACAAGAGCCCAAGAAAAAAAAGCUCGUACAAAGCCCAAGCCCACUACUUUUAAAAAAAAUUAAUUUUAUAAAUUAGAAUAAUAUAAUUAAAAUUGAAAAGUAAUUUAAAAAUAAAAAAAGAAAACUUAAAUUCUUAACUUAUUAAUCAAUUAUGAUUCAAAAAAGCUAAAAUUAUGAUACUAAAUUUUCUCUUUUGUGUCAAUUAAUUAAGAGAACGUUUGAAUUAGAAAAUCUAGUAUUAAAGAAAAUUAAAGUUAUGAUUUUUUAUUUGCUUUAUUUAUUAUUUUAAUUUAAAAUAUUCAUUUUCUUUAAUUUAUCUAUAAUUUUAAUAACUUGUUGAUCAUUAAUUUAUUUCAAAUUUAUAAUAAUUUAAAAAUUUUAAAUUAAAUAAAUAAAGCCCGAGCCCGGCCCAGGCACGUACACUUAGCUGACAGAGGGCCUGGACAUGGGCUUGAAAAAGUCCGGCCCAGGCUCGCUGUUUGUCAUCCCUAGUUACAUGGUAUUACUCCAUAUAGGUAGUGUUUACUUUCUGGAGUGAGAGUGUAGAGUGUGGAUUCCUCCCACUCCAGUGUUUACUUACCAUUUUUAAGGAGGAGUGGGAUUCCCACUCCCCCCUCUUCUCUUUUUACCCUCAUAAUUAAAAUAAAUAAAUAAUAUCAUAUUUAUUAAAAAUAAUAAUUAUAACAUAUUAUUUUAUUAAAUUUAAUAAAAAUAAAUAAAUAUUAUAUUUAAAUUAAUAAUAUUAAACAUUAAUUUUAAUAAAUAUUAAUUAUUUAUUUAAUUAAUAAUAAUAAAUAUUUUAUUCUAAAAAAAUAUUAAUUUUUUACUAUAUUAUCAAUAAUAAUGUUUCAUUUGUGUUGCUAUUAUUAAUAAUUUUUAUUCACAUAAUUUAAAUUUAAAUUAAUAAAAAAUUAUGAUUUACAUAAUUAAGAAUAUUAUUAAUUAUUAUUAAUUUAUAAAUAUAAUAAAAUAUUUAUUUUAUUUUCCAAAUAUAUUUUUUAUUAAUUUUUUAAUUACAAAUUAUAAUUCUUUACAUAAGGAUAAAAUUGUAAUUUAAAAUAAUUUACUCACAAUCCAAGAUAAAGUAAACAAAUAAUUGGGAUUCUGAUUAACAAUCCAUAUUUUCAUUUAGUCUAAGUAAACACCCUACUCGUACUCCCACUCCCACUCCCACUCUCACUCCACACUCUUAAUCCAAGGAUUCCCACUCCAAUCUAAAAAGUAAAUGCAGCAAUAGUAGAGUAUUAUCUCUGUAUUUUUUUUUUCCCUCAAAUUUCGGCCGCCCUCCAUAUUAAUAAUUUCUGUUUUCUGCCGUUCAGAAGGAAAAAGAAAAAUAUGUUUGAGCAACUGAUUUUGCGGAUCUGUAUUAAUUCUCUAGCGCCAUCUUUGAAAUCGUAGAAGAAAGAGAAUUGUGCUUUCUUGUAAGUUCACAGAUUACUUGAACAGCAGCCAAAAGCUGCAUGAUAUAUAAUAUAUUUUAAACACUAGCACUUAAUGUUUUGUAGGGGUGUUCAAAAUCCAAUUCAAUCCACUCAAUUUAUCUGAUCCGUUCAAAUUCAAUCCGUGGAUUAAUGGAUUGGAUUAGAUUAAAAUUUUGAAAAUCUGAAGUUGUUGGAUUGGAUAUGAAUUCACUUAUGUAAAUUCGCAAAAAUCUGUGAAUUCGUAAAAAAAUUAAAAUAUUUAUUUAAUAAAAAAAUUAAACUUAUAAAUAUGACAUUGUACUUACUAAUAAAUAAAUAAGUUAAAAUAUAGUUACAUUAAAAUCAUAUUAUAUCUUAUUCGAUAUAAUAUAAUAUAAAAAUAAUUAAAUAAAAAAAUUAUCUUCCUAAGCAAUUAAUUUCAUGUACUGAUCUAAACAAAUAAGAUUUUUUUUUUUGUGUGUUAUAUUUUAAAACUUUAAAAGUAUUUCCUAACUUUAUUUAAAUAAUUUAUUUAAAUCUUGUUUAAUUUUGAAUUUGAUCAGUAGUAAAAUCAUUUUAUUAUACUAAUUUUUUUUUAAUUAGUUAGUUCAUUGAUAGGACAUGAUUCAAAAUUUUUAGCCUGCAAACCAAUCAGUAAAAUAAUAAAUUAGAUAUGAGUUGGGUCAAAUCUGCAUCCAAUCAAUAAACGUAUGGAUUGGAUUAAAUUAAAAAUUUAUAAUCUAUAAAAUCGUAGAUCAGAUAUGAAUUAAUGACCGAUCCGCAAAAUCCAAUCCACGAACACUCCUAAUAUUUUGCAUUGCAACUUUGCAUACUAGGGAAUUAUUUGCCCCACUCACCAGUUUGAACUUAAUUUACACAGCACAACAGAACCAAGGACUAUAUGGAGUAUCGGCCAAAUCUGCAGCUAUUGCCUCUUCGGGUAAUUUAUACAACAUUAAAGGCCUACUGCCAUUUCCACUAAAAUUAAACUUUCACUUGGCGUUCAACCUUGAUCUCUUCAUUUUUCCUUUUCUAUUAAUUUUUCACUUUAUGAUCAUGCGGACGCACUGGACCAUUUGCCAGCCAUAUGUUUAGCAAUGUACUGCUUGUACCAAUUUGCUGAUAGUCUUUUAGUUCUCUUGAGUGUGGCAUAAUCAACAUGGUGAAGUCCAAACCUUAUUGUAUAUCCAUCAUUCCACUCGAAAUUGUCAAGCAAGGACCAGGCAAAGUAUCCUCGGACAUCCGCUCCAUUUCUGGAAAAAAAUUAUAUGAUUUCGAUUUUGUUAGUCCCAUUUUAAUUUGAACAUGGCAGAAUACGUCUUAAUUCAGAUUGCAGAGAACAGAAACAUGGUCAAAAAGCUUGCAGCGUUUGUUUAUCUUGAUCUCAGUUAAAUACCAUUUGGGAUCAAGAUUUGAGAUAGAAUUCAACAGACAAAGAGUUUAAAAUGUAAUGCCACACCUCACUGCUAUUGCCAGGGAAUCCAAGUGGCUGCUCAUGUACCUCACUCUCCUGGUAUCAUUGAGUAAAUCUUCAAUGGAGGUAUGGGGAUUGUCCCUCUCGCCAAAUCCUUCACGGCCAACCACAGUAACAUCUGAAGAAUCAACAAAAUGUGUAACCAAAUAAUAAAGCAACAAUUUGAUCUUUGUUCCUACUCACCAUUUUCUGUGAUGUACAUUGGAAUGUUAUUGUACCUCUCCUUUAUGUAUGUCACUAUUUCACUCAUUCCUUGAGGAUAAACGAAUAACCAGUCGACAUCAGUCUGCAUAAAUAAAAGGCUCGAGUAUUAUGCCGCAUACACUCUAUACAAUUGAAAUAGUAACAACUGAGACGACUUACUGGUUCUCCAAUCAAGACGCCAUUUCUUUUUGCAGUUCGCAAUAUAGAGCCCUCAGUCUUACAAUUUCCUGGCCCCGGCUCACAUACAGAAAAAAUGCAAUCUUUUACAUAGAAGCUGGUAUAAUGAUUGAUGCCGAUGAAGUCUAAUCCAUUCUUCAGCUUUUCGACGUCAUUUUUCGAGAAUGAUGGCAAGCUAGAUCCAAGAAUUUCGUACAUUUCCUUGGGAUAUUUCCCAAAUAUGAUUGGAUCCAAGAACCUGCAUUACUUUUAGUUGGAGUCAGGAUUCAAGUUUUAGAACCGUCGCGCUAAAGCAUAUUAGAUGUGGUGAAAAUGCUUACCAGUUCAAAUAAAAAGCUUGAGCUCUCUCAGCUGCUAAUUUGUCUUCUAAGGAAUUGCUCAUAGGUUCAAGCCAUAAAACAUUCAUAACAAUUCCAAUAUUACCUUCUUGUUCUUUCUGAAUAUUCGGGACAUCACGUUUAAUCAAUUAUCACAAUAAUCGAAAUGGUUCUGGGACAUGAUUUACAUGAAAGUACCUGGUAUUUAGUUCUGUAGAUUUUGACUGCAGCAGCAUGGGAUAGGAUAAUGUUGUGGGCUGCAAUAAAAGGCUCUUUCUCUGAAUCCCCAUUAGUGCAGUUUCCAAAUAAGCCAGAACAGCGAGAUGGAGGGUAAAUCCCUGACUGAUAGCCUCGAAUGACUACAACAUUCGGCUCAUUAAAGGUAGCCCAGUAUUUCACCCUGUCUCCAAAGUAUUUGAAGCAAAUGUCUGCAUAAUACUCAAAAUCUUCCCUGGAAAAUUUACGAUCUGCAUUAGUCGGAAACCUUAAUGUCUACUCCAUAAAAGCAUAAGAGAAUGCCGCUCACUGCACUUCGCGACUUAGCCAAGCUCCAUAUCUGUCUUCAAGCUCUUGAGGAAUGUCAUAAUGAGUCAAAGUCACAAAGGGCUGGAUCCCUGAAAUCAGAAGCAAUCAACAUUUCAAUGGAAGUUUUAUGUCAGAACUUAACUAUAUUUCGAUAAUGCUAAUGAAUUAUGAUGAUCGUUACUUGUGUCACUUGACUAGAGUUGAUACCUUUUAGAAGAAGAGCAUUGAUUAACUUGUUAUAAUGAUCAAUGCCAGCCCAAUUCACAUCUCCAAAUCUUCCCUCUUGUUAGAAGUUAAGAAGAUGACACUUAGUUAGAAACAAGCUGAAAUUAAUGAUAUAUUCGGAAAUUGAAUAUGCAUUCCUUUUAGGGAUGGCAAAAAUUCCCACGGGACAGAAUCUUUGGGGAUUUUUCUUAUUUGGAGAGGGUAUAAGGAUAAUUUUAUACCUAAUUUUUUAUUCGGGGAAGAGACAGAUAAUUUUUUACCCACUUUCUUAUUCGGGGAAGGGACGGUGAUGAGGUAGAAUCCCCAUCUCCUACCCAUUUCCCCACUUCCUCGUAUUAAUUUUUAAUUUUGAUUUUUUUUUUAGAAUUAUUAAUAAAUGAAUAAUGAAAUUUAAAUUAUAAAAUAUUAAAUAUUAAAUAUUAAAUAUUAGUAUAAAUAACAAAUAUCAAAAUAUUUAUACAAAUCUGUUAUAAAAGCCCACUUAACUAGUUGUAGUCAUGAAUUAUCAUUCAACCAAACCUUAUUCUAAAAGUCUUGGUCAAAAACUGUUUUAGAUUAUGAGUCAUAUUCCUUAUAUUAUUUUUAUUAUUUUAAAUUUGAAACCUGAUAUUAUCUCUCAAUUUGUCAUAUUCCUCGAGGAAGAACAAGAGAAGCAUGAGGUGCAAGAGUAAAUGUUUUUAUUAAAAAUAUUAAUUUCAGUAUUUAUACUCAUUUCAUUUAUUUCAUUACUGAUAUAAAAGUACUUUCUUUUUAUUAUAGGAUUAUGAAGAUUGACGAAAAUAAUUAUUCUGAUAAUUUGUAUUUUUUAAUGUGAUUUUUGUAAUGGAUUAAUAUUAGUGUGAGAUAUAUUAUCAAACCUUACUUUUGUUUAAAAUUUUAUUUUAAUAUAAUUAAAUCAAGUUUAGAAUUUAAAUUUAAACACGUAUUAGUUAUUCAGGGAUCGGAGAUUCCCUCUCAUUAUUUGAGGAGGGGACAUGGAUCCCUUCAAUCAAUUUUAAUCGGGACGGAGAGGAUAUAGGGAUAUAUACAGAAUAUUGGAAAUGGGUACGGAGAUACCGGUCCCCUCCCCUUCCCUCUCCAUUACCUUCCCUAAUUCCUUUCAAUGAAUUAAAAGGACUCACUGGGUAAAACUCUUGCCCAUGAUAUAGAGAAACGGUAGCUGUUGACUCCAAGGUAGUCCAUGAGAUCCAAAUCUUGCUGUUCUAUCAUAUCAUCAAAAAUCAAAAUUACCAGUUUUCAUAUCUGUAAAAAUUUUCACUACUAAAACCCCAAUCCAUCUUUUAAAUUAGGAGCCGCUGUAUUUCCUCAUUAUUUGUCACAAAAUAUGACGUAAUGCCCUUCCCUAGAAUUGUCACUAGGCUCAGUUUGCAAUUGUCGGUCCAUGUAAAGAAUUUUUCUCGUGCAGAAUAUGAAUGGAGACACUAUCAUCACAUUAUUACAAAUUAUUUGACUGGUGACCACAUGCAGGGCCGGCUUUAGAGUUUGAGGGGUCUUAGGCGAAAUUUUUUUAUGAGGCCUCUAUUAUUUUGUAAUUUUAAUACUCAAAGACAUGUAAAGAGGAUCAAAAUUUAUUCUAUCUUUAAUUCUUGAAUUUCAACAAUAAUAAAAAAAAAUCAAAAAUUUAAAAAAUAAAACCUAAAAAACAGUCAAGAAGAUUAAUUUUUUUAUUCCAUUAAAACCGUUAAAAAACAAACAAACAAAUAAAAAAAAUUAUUUUCAAAUAGAAUAUUUAGAAUGAUAGAAUGUUUAGAAUGAUAGAAUAUAACAAUUUUAAAAUGAUGAGUUGAUGUUCAAAAAUAAAAAUGGACUUUAUAUUUUAAGAAACUAAUUAUUUUAAAUGAACCAAUGAAUAUAAUAAUUUUAUUUGUAGAGAAGAGAACAAGAAAUUUUUUUCAUUUACUAAUUUUUUCAUUUACUAAUUCUUGAGAUUAUGAGGUUUUUAAUAGAAAUUAAAAGAAAUAUUAAAAUUCAAAUAUGCUAAUAUUGAAUAAUUGAAAAGGAAUGAAGGUUAAAGAAUAUUAUUAAUUAUAUUUCUCUAAAAUUAAGGUUCCUAAAUAUAGAUUUUUUAUAAAAAAUAAUUCUUAAUUAUAGAAUAAUUAAGAAUAGAGAGAUAUCUAAUAAAAUUUUUGAUUUCUUAAAAUACGUAUUAAAAAUAUUUUAUUAAUUAGAAAAUUAUUAAAGAAAUACUCAAAAAAUGAGGCCUUCUUAAAAUAUGAGACCUUAGGCGACAGCCUUGUUCGCCUAUACCUAAAGCCACCCCUGACCACAUGAGCAUAAAAUGAAUCAAAACAGAAAAAAUUGCGGACAGAAAAUAAAAUUGCCAAUUCAGAGAAGAAAUAUAUCUUGAGAUGCACCCAAAUUUAGAGCUACUAUACAAUGACAAGUGAGGUCUUAUAAUCUAAUAAUUCAAUCAAAUUAGCAUAGAAAUCUAAGGUCUAGGAUACAUCAUAAUCAGCGGUCUGCGUCCAAAGCUUUCAAAUACAUUUGACAUAUUACCAAAUAAAAUCUCAUAUAAGAUGUUAUACCGCUAUCAUACGUCUCUAGAACUAAGUUGAUUUGACCUAAUCUCAAUCAGUUAAAUCAUUAAAUUAUUAUUUUUUUAACUUAACAAAAAUUUUCAAUCAUUAGCUAACUAAAUUAUUAAACUAAUUUUUUUUAGUUUUUUUUCUUAAUAAUAUUAUUAAAAGAUAUUCUCUAAAUUAUAUUUUUCUAAUUAAUUAAUUUUUAUCUUUAUCUAAAUAAAAUUUAAUAAUUAGCAUUAUUACUCAUCUUUAUAACUUGUGAUAAUAUAGUGGUAGACUAUUAUUAUUUUUAUCUUUUUUAUUUUCUUCAAAUUAACAUUAUUUAUCUUCAUAAUUUUUAUGAAUAUUUUUUAUAUAAAAAUAUCAUGAAUUAUAAGAAAAUUGAUUAACAUAUACUGAUUUAGAAUAUAAAGGAUUAUAUUCAAUUGAAGAUAAUUUAUGUUACGAUAUCUUUAAACUCUUUGAAAUGCUUAUUAUUUAUUUAACAUUUAUUAUUUGUAACGGCACAAGUGCAAAAGUACUAGUUUUUAAAUUUUUUAAGUUAAAAAAGAAACAAUUCAAUAUUUAUUUUUAAGUAAUUUAAAAAAAAUAAACAUAUUAUUCAGAUUUAGAGAUCUAGUUCUAUUCAUAAUUAAAACUAAUUUAUAUCUAUUCAGAUUUAAAAAUUAAAAAACAAAAAAACAAAAGUCACCUAACAUUCAUAAACACAUAUAUUUUGCUAAAAUAUGAACUAUGCCGCUGGUUUAGAAUUCGAUUGCAAAUGCAUGGAGCAAGUCCUAGCCAGUAUUCUCUGGUGCCGGAAUUGGAAAAAAGAUUGGAUUUAAAUUGACUAAUCGGUCAGCGGCCAGAGAAUCACAAUUUUGGCUAACUAAUUUACAGACAAAACCUCUUAGAUAAUAAGAAAUUUGGACAGAAUCUUUUUGAGAAAUCCAAGUUGUAUAUGUUGAUGUGAAUUAAGAAUCUUUUUGUAAUGUGCGAGAAAUUUAUUUGUGAAUACAAACACCAAGGAGCAGCUAACAGCUCAGAAUUAGAGAGCUACUUUUAUUUUUAUCAAGGGGCGCAUAAAAAUAAAGUUCAAUUUCAAAGCAUGAAUUUGAGUUACCAGAUAUCGAUGGUAAUGAUCCACAGCAACAUCUCCAUUACUUCCAUCCAUGAUGUUUCCUGCAACAAGUUAUCUCGAAUAUUUCUUAAAAGCAAAAGGGAAUGAUGGAAAUAACAUGAAGCAUCAAAGCUGGCUGUGAAACAUAAUUGACCCAAAUUCUGACCAGGCUUGUGGGUAAAAUUGUCCCAGUUGUUUAGGCCUUUUCCAUCAGUCAGGAAAGCUCCUUCAUACUGCAAAGACCGAAAGCAUACAAUAAUAAUCCAUAGAACCUGAAACAAUCUGACUGUUGUAGAGGUUGCGUAAGAAAGAACCUGAUAAGAAGAAGAUGCAGUUCCAAAAAGGAAACUUCUGGGGAAUGGAGAUGAACUGAAUUCUCCAUUCACUUUGAUAACGGGAUUACAUGAUACCAAUAGUACUAAAAAGCAAAUUCCAAGCAGAAAGAACGCAUGAUAUAACAAUGGAAACUCCAUAACAGUGAAUCUGAAGCUGUCCUCAACUCACCAGUUGCAAAGAAAUAAAAUAGAGUGGUGACUCUGGUAGCACAAUCCGAGAGAUGUUUUUCAGAAACUGAAAACGGAAUGGCCCUCUUGACGUCCAACACUUGUAAUUGCUAAGUAUUACUUGGCUGAAUGUCAUGUAGACAUAUAUAUAUAUAUAUAUAUAUAUAUAUUGUGAACUUUCAGAAAAUGCCAACACCAAAUUUCGUAAAAUUGAAUCCAUUAUCUUAAAAGGCUUAAAUUGCGGGAAUUUGUCCCAGCCAUACCCCAAAAAUAGGGUAUUUAUCUAAAUACACUCUCAUACUCCAAAAUUCCUCAUAUAUACAUUUUUCUACGUGUAAUUACGGAAUUACCCUAAUUUAAAACCUAAGUCAUUAUGACCAUUCAUGAUCAGGCCGUGGAACACAACACCCAAUUUCACCUAAUUCAAACCUUCCUCAAGAUUGAAUCCGAUCAAAACCAAAAAAAAAAAAAAAGAGUGAAGCGUCAUUCGCCAGGCUCGAUUGCGGUCCUUUCGGUGGGCUAUUAGAUGAGGCCAACACCCACAACACUUUGCUGCUGUUACUUCAUGUCUUUGUUAUCGCUUGUUCUAGCCCCACAAACUUGCUG